UGCAGAUUAUGAGUAAUGGUAUCUUCAAGAGCCCAAUGCACAGGGUUGUGACAAAUCCAGACAGAAUGAGACUAUCUGUGGCCUUGUUUAAUGAACCUGAUCCUGAAACUGAAAUUAGUCCUGUGGAGAAACUGAUAGUUGAGACAAGGCCACGGUUAUAUAAAACUGUCAAGAAUUAUGGUCGUAUCAACUAUGAAUGCUAUCAGAGAGGAGAGGUAGCACUUGAAACAGUAAAAAUCAGCUAGCUCCCAUAUGAAAGAAGUUGAAUACAUUAAGGUUUGUUUUUGUAUUGACACCUGUUGUUUACUGUGAUGAAUCAUUGCUGUGUAAGCCUAUAAGUUAAUCAUGUAUGAAAGUGAGGUGAGGUGAGGUGUGUAACCAAUUACAAAAGCUUUCAUACGAUUAUAAUAAAAUGCUGCUAGCUGUCGGUGAGCCGUGGCCUGGUUGGUUAAGGUGUUAACUAACAACUUUGAGGUCAUGAGUUCAAACCUCAUUGACAUAUGUAGGGUGUGUGAGUUAUUUAAUAAAAAGUUUUUGAAAAAAAAAAAAAUGCUGCUAGCUCCAGGCUAAAAUAGAUGCCAAGCUGGUUGGAUUGGCUUCUGCAAUAAUUACAAGAGAAGAGACUAUGGUCAGCUUAAUUUUCUGGUUUCAUUUGUCCUGUUAGUGAGCUCUAUGAUUACUUCGAGUAUUUAAUAAUUCUUAUGUAUUUAUAUAUUUUAUAAAUCCUAGUAGACUAUCUGUAAAAAAACCCAUUAUUGGGGAAGACAUGAUGCUUAUAAAACCUAUUAUGAUUCCUUAUCAACCCCAUUGAAGUAUCAAAGAGAAACAUGGCUCUACUCGAUGAUGAUAAUGCCUCGGUGAAGUUGUCCACGAGUGUCCGAGAAAUGUCUAUCAAAGGUGUUGAACCACCCCCGGAAUAUAUUGUUAAGGAAGGCAUCUUUGGAGCUAUAGAGUCUUCUCCAGAAGUAGGCCAAAUCCCUAUCAUUGAUAUUAGUCUCUUCUCCACAUCAUCACAGGAUUCUCCAAAAGCGCAGAUUGAACUUGAGAAACUUAGAACAGCACUCAGCUCAUCAGGCUGCUUCCAGGUUGAUAUCAUUAUCUAAAUGUUCCAAUAUAUUGUAUUCCAUUCUAAGAUAUUGUUGUGCAUCAUUUUUUUGGGUUGUUGAAGUUGUUUUUCUCAUUUGUUUGGUUAUCAGGCAAUUGGUCAUGGCAUUUCAAGUAGCUUUCUUGACAAGUUACGCGAAGUGGCAACAAAUUUCUUUGCACUUCCAGAGGAAGAGAAGCAAAAGAAUCCAGUGGAAGAGAAGAAAAAGCACUUCAAAGUAGCUCAUCGAACUGAAGGAUAUGCUCAUGAGGUCAAAGUCUCAGAGAAGCAAGUUCUUGACUGGGUGUACCGUCUUACUCUUCUAGCAUUUCCAGAAGAUCAAAGAUGCCUAGAUCUUUGGCCAGAAAAUCCAAUCAACUUUGGGUACAUUAACUUUAAAAAUUGUUACAUGAAUAUGCAUUAUAGAUUUCUUUUGUCUCAUAUUGUAGCAGUUACUUAAUUGGUUGACUUUUUGCAGAAAGAUGUUACAUGAAUAUACAACAAAGGUAAAGUUCAUGAUGGAAAUUCUGUUUAAGGCCAUGGCGAAAUCAUUGAAUUUGGAAGAGAACAGCUUUGCAGAUAAGCUGUUUGGAAAACAAGCUCAGAUGACAGCAAAAUUCAACUUCUAUCCACAGUGUUCAAGACCCGAUCAGGUGCUUGGUGUGAAACCACAUACAGAUGGAUCAGGAGUAACAGUUCUGUUGCAAGACAAAGAAGUAGAAGGUCUUCAAGUUUUUGUGGAUGACAAAUGGGUUAGAGUCCCCAUUAUUCCUGAUGCUAUAGUUGUUAACCUUGGUGAUCAGAUGCAGGUAUAUAUACCUAUUACUACUUCAAUUUACUUCUUUGUUAUUCAAAUCCAAUAUGACAUUUCAUAACCAGUUUUUCGUUCUAUAUAUGUAUUCCUGCUGCAGAUUAUGAGUAAUGGUAUCUUCAAGAGCCCAAUGCACAGGGUUGUGACAAAUCCAGACAGAAUGAGACUAUCUCUGGCCUUGUUUAAUAAACCUGAUCCUGAAACUGAAAUUAGUCCUGUGGAGAAAUUAAUAGAUGAGACAAGGCCAAGGGUAUAUAAAACUGUCAAGAAUUAUGGUCGUAUCAGCUAUGAAUGCUAUCAGAGAGGGGAGAUAGCACUUGAAACAGUAAAAAUCUGAUAUAAUUUCUUUUCCUUUGUAAUAAUUUUCCAGCUUUCAUAUGAAAGAAGUUAAAUACAUUAAGGCUGGUUUUUGUAUUGACCUGUUGUUUACUGUGAUGAUUCAUUGCUGUAUAAGGAUGGUAGUUUAAUUUAAUUACCAAGUUAAUCAUGUAUGAAAGUGAGGUGAGGUGUGGAACCAAUUAUCAAAAGCUUGUCUGCGAUUAUAAUGUUGAAGAGACUAUAUGGUCAGCUUAAUUUUCCCACAUUAUGAAUUCAUGUUGCAGAUUAUUAGUAAUGGACUGUUAAGAGUGCAAUGCACAGGGUGUGGUGACAAAUAAUACAGAAAAGUCUAUGUUUAACUUACCAGAUUCUGAAACUGAGAUUGGUCCACUGGAGAGCUUGAUACAUCAUGAAACAAGGCCAAUGUUGUAUAAAAAUGUCAAGAACUAUGGUCGCAUCAACUACAAAUGCUAUCAGAGAGAAGAAAUAGGACUUGAAACAGUAAAGAUGUAAUUUUUCCUUCUCUGUAUAAUUAUCUUUCUAGAAGCUGAAUAGUGAUCAUUAUCAUAGUCUCAGAAUUCUGUUAGUCUCUUUUAUGUAGUGAUCACUAGUCUUUAAACGGCAAAAUCCAACUUCAGACGUCUCAUUUUCACUCUCAAUCAUUGUCCACUUUUGUGUGGGAACAAUUGAUGCAUGGCCUAAAUUUAGCACGUAAUUCAAUAAGAACCCUGGAGAUAAUUUCAUUGCUUUUUGGAAAUCAUGUUAAACAUAUAAUGUUUCCUCUAUUUAAGCUACGCAAUGUCUUAUUUUGUAUAUCAGAUGCAUCACCUCCCUCCCAUUUAAAUUGCAUUAUACAUGGAAAUAUUUAGAGUGCCUCGUCUGUUCUUUCCUUAAUUGUGUAUCUGACAAAGUACUAUAUGCAGUUAUGCAGUUAUGCACCAGACACUUGUGAAGAGUAGUCUGAGUUGUAUACGUAUUCUAGAAUAAUUGCUGAAAACCCCCUAAACCCAACACGUUUUAUGCCACCUCUUGUGUGAUGAAGAACAGAUCAGUAACUUUCCCAAGUUUGGCACAGUAAAGUUGUCUGAGUAUCCAAGAAAUGGCCAUCAAAGGUGAUGAACCACCUCCUGAAUAUAUUGUCACAGAGAGCAAGUUUGGAGCUAUAGAGUCCUCACCAGAAUUGGGUCAAAUCCCCACCAUUGAUAUCAGUCUCUUCUCCCCAUCAUCAAUUGGUACUAAGGAAGCAGAGAUCGAACUAAACAAACUCAGAUCAGCUCUCAGCUCAUCAGGCUGCUUCCAGGUUCUAUAUGCUUUUACCUUAAUUUUACUAGACUAGUUUACAUCAAGUGACCAGGUGAACAUUAAUUUUAGAUAUAUUACUAUAGCAUAAGCUAUAUUUAUCUUUCUUACUGCAUUGUCUUAAUCUGUUGAACUUGGUUUUCCUCCUACUUGAGUUUUCAGGCAAUAGGUCAUGGGAUUUCAAGUUCCUUUCUGGACAAGGUACGCGAAGUUGCAACACAAUUCUUUGAACUUCCAGUGGAAGAGAAGCAAAAAUAUUCCAGAGAAAUUUAUGGUGGGCGUGAAGGGUUUGGAGAGGAUCUCAUUGUAUCAGAGAAACAAGUUCUCGAUUGGUCGUACCGCCUAAUUCUUAAUGUGUUCCCUGAAGAUCAUAGAAAGCUCGAUCUCUGGCCAGAAAAUCCAUAUGAUUUUGGGUACAUUAACUUUAAACAUGGACUACUUAAUUCAUACAUAGUUUUCUUUAGUGAAGUCAUUGACUACUAACGAAACUUUUGUGCAGAGAGGUUGUGCAUGAAUAUGCAACAAAGGUAAAGUGUAUGAUGGGUGUGCUGUUUAAGGCCAUGGCAAAAUCGUUGAAUUUGGAGAAGAACAGCUUUUCAGAUUACAUGUUUGGAGAGGGAGCUCUGAUGCAAGCAAGAUUCAACUUCUAUCCGCGGUGUUCAAGAUCCGAUCAGGUCCUUGGUGUCAAGCCACAUACAGAUAGGUCAGGAGUGACAGUUCUGUUGCAAGACAAAGAAGUUGAAGGUCUUCAGGUUUUGGUAGAUGGGAAAUGGGUUAGAGUCCCCAUUGUGCCUCAUGCAAUAGUUGUUAAUCUUGGUGAUCAAAUGCAGGUAACACAAUAAAAAAGUUACUUAUCUUUCCGAUUUGUUUAAUUGCUUUCAGAUCCAAUCUGAAACUUCGUACCCGAAUUUUAAUACUAUAUGAAUUUUUACUGCAGAUUAUGAGUAAUGGUAUCUUCAAGAGCCCAAUGCACAGGGUUGUGACAAAUCCAGACAGAAUGAGACUAUCUGUGGCCUUGUUUAAUGAACCUGAUCCUGAAACUGAGAUUAGUCCUGUGGAGAAAUUGAUAGAUGAGACAAGGAUAAGGUUAUAUAAAACUGUCAAGAAUUAUGGUCGUAUCAACUAUGAAUGCUAUCAGAGAGGAGAGAUAGCACUUGAAACAGUAAAAAUCUGAUAUAAUUUCUUUUCCUUUGUAAUAAUUUUCCAGCUUUCAUAUGAAAGAAGUUAAAUACAUUAAGGCUGGUUUUUGUAUUGACCUGUUGUUUACUGUGAUGAUUCAUUGCUGUAUAAGGAUGGUUGUUUAAUUUAAUUACUAAGUUAAUCAUGUAUGAAAGUGAGGUGAGUUGUGUAACCAAUUAUCAAAAGUUUGCAUAAGAUUAUAAUAAAAUGCUGUUAUUUCUGUAGCUCCUGCAGCCUAAUAUAGAAGCCAAUUCAACCUGGUUGGGUUGGCUUCUGCAAUAAUAAUUACAAGAGAAGAGACUAUGGUCAGCUUAAUUUUCUGGUUUUUACUUGUCCUAUUAAUGAGCUCUAUGAUUACUAUUCCUUGAGCCCUGAAUAAUUAUUUUUUAUGUAUUUAUUUUAUUAAUCCUAGUAGACUUUGAGUCUUAAGUAAUUAUUUUAUAUUUAUGUAUUUUACAAAUCCUAGUAGACUAUCUGUAUUGGGAAGACAUUGUGCUUAUAAAACCUAUUAUGUUUCCUUAUCAACCCCAUUGGAGUAUCAAGAGAAACAUGGCUAUACUUGAUGAUGAUAAUGCCUCAGUGAAGUUGUCCAUGAGUGUCCGAGAAAUGUCUGUCAAAGGUGUUGAACCACCCCCGGAAUAUAUUGUUAAGGAAGGCAUCUUUGGAGCUAUAGAGUCUUCUCCAGAAGUAGGCCAAAUCCCUAUCAUUGAUAUCAGUCUCUUCUCCACAUCAUCACAGGAUUCUGCGAAAGCGCAGAUUGAACUUGAGAAACUUAGAUCAGCACCAGGGCCAGUCCAAUGUUUUGAAGGACCCGGUGCGAGAAAAAAAUUGGGGCCCUUUGUGUUGAGAAAUAAAAAAACUUGAAAGAACACUGAUUCCAUUUUGAAGCCUCAGCCUCAAUUGCUUUCAAACCUCCAAGCUCCCUUCCUUGUAUUUACAAACCAAUACAAGGAACAAGUUGUUAAAUUUAUUGUGUGUAUAUUCAAUUUAUGUAUAAAAUUGUAGGAAAUCAAAAGAAUACCUUUAGGGAAUAAAACAAGAGAGAUUGAGUGUAUAAACAAAGCCAAUUAAGAGAUAGGAGUUGGGAAAUUUGAAGAUGAAGAUAGGAAGUAUGAGUACUAGGAGGAAACAGAGAGUAGAGAGACGGAGGAACAAUGAUCAAACCGAGGUGAUCAAUAAUUGANNNNNNNNNNNNNNNNNNNNNNNNNNNNNNNNNNNNNNNNNNNNNNNNNNNNNNNNNNNNNNNNNNNNNNNNNNNNNNNNNNNNNNNNNNNNNNNNNNNNNNNNNNNNNNNNNNNNNNNNNNNNNNNNNNNNNNNNNNNNNNNNNNNNNNNNNNNNNNNNNNNNNNNNNNNNNNNNNNNNNNNNNNNNNNNNNNNNNNNNNNNNNNNNNNNNNNNNNNNNNNNNNNNNNNNNNNNNNNNNNNNNNNNNNNNNNNNNNNNNNNNNNNNNNNNNNNNNNNNNNNNNNNNNNNNNNNNNNNNNNNNNNNNNNNNNNNNNNNNNNNNNNNNNNNNNNNNNNNNNNNNNNNNNNNNNNNNNNNNNNNNNNNNNNNNNNNNNNNCCCUUGCCGGCCGGGGCCCUGUGCGGCGGCGCCGCCUUGACCGCCCCAGGGCCGGCUCUGAUCAGCACUCAGCUCAUCAGGCUGCUUCCAGGUUGAUAUCAUUAUCUAAAUGUUCCAAAAUAUUGUAUUCCAUUCUAAGAUAUUGUGGUGCAUCAUUUUGUUGGUUUGUUGAAGUUUGUUUUUCUCAUUUGUUUGGUUAUCAGGCAAUUGGUCAUGGCAUUUCAAGUAGCUUUCUUGACAAGUUACGCGAAGCGUCAACAAAUUUCUUUGCACUUCCAGAGGAAGAGAAGCAAAAGAAUCCAGUGAAAGAGAAGAAAAAGCACUUCAAAGUAGCUCAUCGAACUGAAGGAUAUGCUCAUGAGGUCAAAGUCUCAGAGGAGCAAGUUCUUGACUGGGCAUACCGUCUUACUCUUCUAGCAUUUCCAGAAGAUCAAAGAUGCCUAGAUCUUUGGCCAGAAAAUCCAAACAACUUUCGGUACUUCAACUUUAAAUAUUGUUACAUGAAUAUAUGCAUUGUAGAAACACAAGCCUUUGUUGGUUUGGUUUACUUCAAAUUCUGCUAGUACCAAAACAAUCCCGGGUUCGAAUCCCAGUCUCAGCAAUUUUUUUUGUCCUUGCCUUCGGGCUCCAUGUCAUCAAAAAAAAUAUAUGCAUUGUAGACAUUUUGUUUUGGUCUUUCAAUUACAUUGUUGAUUUUCUGCAGAGAGGUGUUACAUGAAUAUGCAACAAAGUUAAAUCUCAUGACGGCUGUUCUGUUUAAGGCCAUGGCGAAAUCGUUGAAUUUAGAAGAGAACAGCUUUGCAGAUCAGCUGUUUGGUGAACAAGCUUUGAUGACAGUAAGAUUCAACUUCUAUCCUAAGUGUUCAAGACCUGAUCAGGUGCUUGGUGCAAAACCACAUACAGAUGGAUCAGGAAUAACACUUCUGUUGCAAGACAAAGAAGCAGAAGGUCUUCAAGUUUUGGUGGAUGGCAAAUGGGUUAGAGUCCCCAUUGUGCCUGAUGCUAUAGUUGUUAACCUUGGUGAUCAGAUGCAGGUAUAUAUAUAUACCUAUUACUACUUUAAAGGUCCUAGAGGGGGGGUGAAUAGGCCUUUUUGAAAUUUUCGUUGCCUUCUGUAUCCGAGGAUAGCAAUGAUUUGUGCUAUCCUCGAAUCACAGGAUGCGAGUUUGCAGAAAGUAAAUUGCAGCAAAUAAAGAAACAACACAAGGAUGUUUUUUACUCGCAGAAACCCUGAAUGCAGGGAGAAAAACUGCGUGUCUCUAACUCUUGAGAGACAAAAAACUUCCACUAAGUUGAAGUAACUUCUUACAAGAAUAAUAGUUCUAGUGAUACACUACCACAGUGCUAUCCUUCCUAGUCCCGAACUAGUCUAGACCUAUUCCCUCUCUUGUUUCUAAGUUCUUACAACAUGGGACACUUUUUGAAGCCUUGUUCGUGAAUUCAGCUAACCACUAGCAGAUUCAACCUUGAACGCUUCUUGAGUUGGUUGCACUACACAUCCCUCAUGGUAUGCAACAUGAUAUGAGUUGAUGAAAGAAGUUUUGAGUUCAAGCUCUAAGGUUUACAGUCACGAAGAAGACUUAGAGCAGCAUGAACAAUGNNNNNNNNNNNNNNNNNNNNNNNNNNNNNNNNNNNNNNNNNNNNNNNNNNNNNNNNNNNNNNNNNNNNNNNNNNNNNNNNNNNNNNNNNNNNNNNNNNNNNNNNNNNNNNNNNNNNNNNNNNNNNNNNNNNNNNNNNNNNNNNNNNNNNNNNNNNNNNNNNNNNNNNNNNNNNNNNNNNNNNNNNNNNNNNNNNNNNNNNNNNNNNNNNNNNNNNNNNNNNNNNNNNNNNNNNNNNNNNNNNNNNNNNNNNNNNNNNNNNNNNNNNNNNNNNNNNNNNNNNNNNNNNNNNNNNNNNNNNNNNNNNNNNNNNNNNNNNNNNNNNNNNNNNNNNNNNNNNNNNNNNNNNNNNNNNNNNNNNNNNNNNNNNNNNNNNNNNNNNNNNNNNNNNNNNNNNNNNNNNNNNNNNNNNNNNNNNNNNNNNNNNNNNNNNNNNNNNNNNNNNNNNNNNNNNNNNNNNNNNNNNNNNNNNNNNNNNNNNNNNNNNNNNNNNNNNNNNNNNNNNNNNNNNNNNNNNNNNNNNNNNNNNNNNNNNNNNNNNNNNNNNNNNNNNNNNNNNNNNNNNNNNNNNNNNNNNNNNNNNNNNNNNNNNNNNNNNNNNNNNNNNNNNNNNNNNNNNNNNNNNNNNNNNNNNNNNNNNNNNNNNNNNNNNNNNNNNNNNNNNNNNNNNNNNNNNNNNNNNNNNNNNNNNNNNNNNNNNNNNNNNNNNNNNNNNNNNNNNNNNNNNNNNNNNNNNNNNNNNNNNNNNNNNNNNNNNNNNNNNNNNNNNNNNNNNNNNNNNNNNNNNNNNNNNNNNNNNNNNNNNNNNNNNNNNNNNNNNNNNNNNNNNNNNNNNNNNNNNNNNNNNNNNNNNNNNNNNNNNNNNNNNNNNNNNNNNNNNNNNNNNNNNNNNNNNNNNNNNNNNNNNNNNNNNNNNNNNNNNNNNNNNNNNNNNNNNNNNNNNNNNNNNNNNNNNNNNNNNNNNNNNNNNNNNNNNNNNNNNNNNNNNNNNNNNNNNNNNNNNNNNNNNNNNNNNNNNNNNNNNNNNNNNNNNNNNNNNNNNNNNNNNNNNNNNNNNNNNNNNNNNNNNNNNNNNNNNNNNNNNNNNNNNNNNNNNNNNNNNNNNNNNNNNNNNNNNNNNNNNNNNNNNNNNNNNNNNNNNNNNNNNNNNNNNNNNNNNNNNNNNNNNNNNNNNNNNNNNNNNNNNNNNNNNNNNNNNNNNNNNNNNNNNNNNNUGGACCUUGACACAGCUGAUAGCAACUGGUCUUUGAACCAUACAGGGACCAGCUUAUACAUCGGAUAACGUAUCAUGAAAUCCCAGCUGGAGCCUUGAGCAUCAAACCAUUUGGUCACGGGUUGGCAUAAUAAAAGAUCUCAACCCUUUGACUGGUUUGAGCGCUAAAGCACUUCCCACAAACUCAGUUGUCCAUUUGAAAUUAAAAGACAUAUUAUACUAAUAUAACAGACUUUGAAACUCAGUACAGCAGAAGACUCAGUACUAGGAUAGCAAGCGAAGCUGCUAUCCUCUGUGAAAAACAGUGAUAUGCAGAUGCACGUUUUACCUGAAACCAUGAGGGAUAUUAGCGCCACUUGUUCUUGAUCAGAUAACAUUAUCUCAAAGUGUUUUGCAGUAUAAAAGGAUUGCCAACUAUCCUUAUACCUUCAUACUUCAAUGUACUUCUUUGUUAUUCAAAUCCAAUAUGACAUUUCAGAACCAGUUUUGGUGUUAUAUAUGUAUUCCUGCUGCAGAUUAUGAGUAAUGGUAUAUUCAAGAGUCCAAUGCACAGGGCUGUGACCAAUACAGAAAGGAUGAGGUUGUCUGUGGCCUCGUUUAACGAACCAGAUCCUGAAAGUGAGAUUGGUCCAGUGCAGAAACUGAUAGAUGAGGCAAGGCCAAGACUGUACAAGAAUGUCAAGAAUUAUGGUCUCAUCAACUACCAAUGCUAUCAGGGAGGACAAAUAGCACUUGAAACAAUGAAGAUAUAAGUUUUCUUUUCUGUGUUUAUUUGAUUGUGUCAAAACUAUGAAACUUUGAAUCAACUACAAGCCCUGUUAUCAUUUCUUUGUAUUUAUCACCCGUAAUAUCGUAUCAAUAAAAGCUAAUCAAUUUCACUGAUGAAACACUGUCCUUAUUUGUUCAAGCCAAUUCUAACAGUCUCUGCAUAUAUAGGAGCAGAAUGAGAAAUUACAUUUUUACAGCAUCAAGAAGCACUAACCCUUUCUGAUAACUUUGAUAGUUAAAACUCGGUGGCAUAUUUGAUCAAGUACGUUCUCUCUAAAGGGUAUUUCCAAUCUGUCGUAACAUUUUUUAAUCAUGCAUCUGUGAUUCUGUAAAGAGGUUAGGAAGCAUUUCUCCCAAAAUACGUAGCUGAUCAAACUUCAAGUACAAACAAUCUAUCUAGAAACUUGGAAUUGAUGGCUCGCUUAUGACGUAAGCAGAGGUUCUUGGUGAGUCGUGUCGCAAUGUAACUUUCACUUUACAUUAAUAGAUUGACGCCCUCUCGAUUAUUAAAGUUUUAGUUUGUGCUCUUUUAUGAGAAUUGGUCAUUGAUGCAUGGCCUUCAUUCACCUAACUUUCAUUGUUUUUGGAUUCAUGUUAAAAGAUAAUGUUCCCUCCAUUUAAGUACGUAAUCUCUUAUUUUGUACAUCUGAUACAUCACUUCUUUCCAUUUUAAUUGCAUUAUGUGUCAAAUAUUUAGGAUACUUCUCCCCAAAUUGGCUAGGCACUCAUCUUUCCACAAUUGUACUGCAUGCGUAUUGGAUCACUUGUGAACCAUAUUAGAUGAGUUGUAGAUGAGUGGUAUACGUAUUCUAGUGUAAUUACUAGAGAACCCUGUAAACACAAAAAUUCAUGUAACGAAUAACAUAAAGACACGUGUACGAAAUAAUAUAUUUGUAUUGAUUGAAUUUGCGGGUUACAAUCUCUAUGGGUAUUCUUUUAACAAACAUGUCCUCUGAUUCGAUCUCCGACGUUGAUUUGAUCCAAAGGUGACGAGCACUUGAUCUUGAAUUGAGCUGUUGUAGUUUGAACUUGUUAUCGUGUUGACAAUUUGUAGAAGGAAGUUGACCGCCGUAGAGGCUUGAUCUUGGUCGAAUUUGGGCCGCGAGAAGUGUCAUGUGGUGAACGUUCUUCGGCUUGAUAGCGGAUGAAUCGACACGUGUGUUUGGUGCUUGUUGAUUCUCCACGAGCUUGUUGAAGAACUUGGGAAAAGUUUUGAUUUGUUGAAAGGCUUGAAGACGAGGGUUGAUCAAGGGCCGUAGAGGUUUGACAUUGAUCGGGGUGGUUGCUCUUCGUCUUGUAGUUGGUGAAGAUGUCGGCUAUUUGGCAACUUGGGACUCUUCGGGAUUUGACAACUUUUAGGCUUGACGUUGAUGAAGAAUCGGCUAUUUGGCAGCUUGAUGAUUUUUAAAGGUUUUGGGAGAAUUCUGAGCCCUCAGGAGUAAUUUUUCUCUCUUGUCCAGAAGUCCUCCUCUUGAUAUGAGAGGGUGUAUUCAUAGUGUCGAUGUUCCUCCGUAAAUGGAAAUGGAAUGCAUUGAAGUCACAACUUUAAUUGUAUUUCCUUAAUGAUAUAAUUAAAUCAUUCACUUUUGAUUGAUUGAUUCAAUUAUUCAAUUUACCAUAAUUAAAUCAAUCAGUCUUAAUUGAUCGAUUUAAUUAUGACCGAUAAGGUAUUUCACCAAUUUGAUUAAAUUCCGACUUUCUUUUCGAUAAUCGAUUUAAUUUGAUUAAUGUAUGAUUAUCGAUUGACAUUUAAUAUUUGAUUUUAAUCGGGAUUGAUGAUUUUGUUGUCGACCGACCAUUCACAGGCCGCCACGUGUUAUUUCCGAAAACUUUUCAAAUUUGUUGACUCACAAGCCACGUAUGCAAUUUGUCGGGCUCAUACGUUGUAUGAAUAAUUUAAUGAUUAUUAUUCUCAUUAAAUUUUAUGCGUCUACAAACCCCUAAACCUAGAACCUUUUAUGCCACCUUUUGUGUGAUGAAAAAAAUAUCUGAAACUUUCCCAAUCUUGUUGUUUGGCACAGUGAAGUUGUCCGUAUGAGUAUCCAAGAAAUGUCCAUCAAAGGUGAUGAACUACCACCUGAAUAUAUUGUCACAGAAAGCAAGUUUGGAGCCAUAGAGUCCUCACCAGAAUUGGGUCAAAUCCCCACCAUUGAUGUUAGUCUCUUCUCCCAAUCAUCAAUUGGCACUAAGGAAGCAGAGAUCGAACUAAAGAAACUCAGAUCAGCUCUUAGCUCAUCCGCCUGCUUCCAGGUUAUCUCUACUAUUAGAAAGCCAGGCACCCUAUUUGGUGUUAUGGUGAAACCUUUUUUUUAAUUGCCCAAAAAACCAAGGUAACAAAAAUAUCUUUAAGAAAUAAAAAUAAAGUUAUUUUAGGGCUUAAUCGUAAAACACCAUUAGAAUUCAAAGAAAAAGAGAAAUUUUAAAUACACACCCCUAAUCUCUUAAUACACACCCUUAUUAUUUUAUGUUUCUGUUGAGAUUUUAUAAGNNNNNNNNNNNNNNNNNNNNNNNNNNNNNNNNNNNNNNNNNNNNNNNNNNNNNNNNNNNNNNNNNNNNNNNNNNNNNNNNNNNNNNNNNNNNNNNNNNNNNNNNNNNNNNNNNNNUUGUGCUCUUGUGAAUUUUGAAAACUUGUAUUGGUGAUUUAGAGUUGAGAUAUAACAAUAAUCAUUUGAUUAUAAAUUGAACGAUGAUAACCAAAAAUUUCUAGCAAAAAUUAGACGAAAUAAUAUGUAAAAAGAGGUACCAAAUAGUAAAUAUAUAUUAAUUAUAUUAAAUAACGGAAUAUUUCAUAAAUUAAGGGCAUUUUAGACAGUCUGGGAUGUGUAUUAAGUAUAAUAUUGAAAUGAAAAACUUGAUAGGUAGUGUAUUAAGUAAGGGGUGUGUAUUAAGAUAUUAGGGGUGUGUAUUUAAAAUUUCUCAAAGAAAAAAGGGACGAGGAGAAAAAAAAAGAUGUGUGAAAGUUUCAUCCCACUUUUUAUGGAGCGGUUAUCUACAAAAACCCACGUUAGGUGGAGCAGUUCAAAUAAAAUUUCUUCUAUUUUUUUAUCUUGUGCAGAUACAUGGGUAAGAGGCUAGUAUAUAUAUAGUUUCACCUAAAUUUUACUAGAGUAGUGUUCAUCAAGUGACCAGGUGAACAUUAAUUUUAGAUAUAUUCAUAUAUAUUACUAUAGCAUAAGCUAUAUUUAUCUUUCUUAGUGCAUUGUCUUAAUCUGUUGAACUUGGUUUUUCAGGCAAUCGGUCAUGGGAUUUCAAGUUCCUUUCUGGACAAGGUACGCGAAGUUGCAACACAAUUCUUUGAACUUCCAGUGGAAGAGAAGCAAAACUACUCGAGAGAAAUUUAUGGUGGCGAAGAAGGAUAUGGGGAGGAUGUAAUUGUCUCAGAGAAGCAAGUUCUUGAUUGGUCUUACCGCCUAAUUCUUCAAGUAUUCCCUGAAGAUCAAAGAAGGCUUGAUCUCUGGCCAGAAAAUCCAACUGAUUUUCGGUACAUUAACUUCAAACAUUGACUACAUAUUGUGCUACAUAAUUUUCUUUUAGUGAACUCAUUGACUACUAACAUCUUUGGUGCAGAGAGGUUCUGCAUGAAUAUGCAACACAGGUAAAGUUCAUUAUGCAUGUUCUGUUCAAGGCCAUGGAAAAAUCUCUGAAUUUAGAAGAGAACAUCAUUUUAGAUAAGCUGCUUGGAGAAAAAGCUCAGAUGAGAGCAAAAUUCAACUUCUAUCCGCGGUGUCCAAGAGCCGAUAAGGUGUUUGGUUUGAAGCCUCAUACAGAUGGGUCAGGAAUGACUGUUCUGUUGCAGGACAAAGAGGUAGAAGGUCUUCAAGUUUUGGUUGAUGGAAAAUGGGUUAGAGUCCCCAUUGUGCCUCAUGCAAUAGUUGUUAAUCUUGGUGAUCAAAUGCAGGUAACACAAUAAAAAAGUUACUUAUCUUUCCAAUUUGUUCAAUUGAUUUCAGAUCCAAUCUGAAACUUCGUACCCGAAUUUUAAUACUAUAUGGGAUUUUUACUGCAGAUUAUGAGUAAUGGUAUCUUCAAGAGCCCAAUGCACAGGGUUGUGACAAAUCCAGACAGAAUGAGACUAUCUGUGGCCUUGUUUAAUGAACCUGAUCCUGAAACUGAGAUUAAUCCUGUGGAGAAAUUGAUAGAUGAGACAAGGCCAAGGUUAUACAAAAAUGUCAAGAAUUAUGGUCGUAUCAACUAUGAAUGCUAUCAGAAAGGAGAAGUUGCACUUGAAACAUUGAAGAUCUGAAUUUCAUUUAUCUAUGCCUUUAUCAUGCAUGUAUAAAUAAAUUGUGUAAACACUAUGAAACUUUUCAAAUAAGUACAGCCCCUGUGAUCUUAAUCAUAGGCUAUUAAUCAUAUGCUAUUUAUUUUCUGUUGUACAACUAUGAUAAUAUUUUCUCCAUUUAAUUACAGAUUAUUUUAUUUUGCAUAUCCAAAACUAUAAUUGCAUUUCAUUUUAAAUUACAUAGCACAUCAAACUAUACAUAUAUAUUUCAGAGUAGCCCAAUUACUAGAAAACCCCUAAAACCCAACCCUUAUAUAUGCCACAUCUUGUGUGGUGGAUUGAGUCAAACCUUAGCUCAAUUAUCACAUUACACAGAUCAGAAACUUCCCAGAAUAGUUGUUUGGCACAGUGCAGUAAUCGAUGAGUGUUGAAGAACUGUCCAUCAAAGGUGAUGAACCACCCGCUGAAUAUAUUGUUAAAGAAAGCAAGUUUGGAGGUAUAGAGUCUUCCCCAGAAUCAGGUCAAAUCCCCAUCAUUGAUAUUAGUCUCUUCUCCCCAUCGUCAGUUGGUACUAAGGAAGCAGAGAUCGAACUAAACAAACUCAGAUCAGCUCUAAGCUUAUCAGGAUGCUUCCAGGUUAUAUAUGAUUUUACCUUACUUUUACUAGAGUAUUGUUCAUCAAGUGAACAUGUUAGGUAAAUUACUAUAGCAUAAGUUUUCUGUAUCUUUAUUUGUGCAUUGUCUAAAUCUGUUGUACUUGUUUUUCUCCUACUUGGGUUUUUAGGCCAUAGGUCAUGGGAUUUCAAGUUCCUUUCUUGACAAGGUACGCGAAGUCGCGACACAAUUCUUUGAACUUCCAGUGGAAGAGAAGCAAAAAUACUCAAGAGAAAUUUAUGGUGGCCAAGAAGGAUAUGGGGACGAUGUAAUUGUCUCAGAGAAGCAAGUUCUUGAUUGGUUGUACCGCCUAAUUCUUCAAGUAUUUCCUGAAGAUCAAAGAAGGCCUGAUCUCUGGCCAGAAAUUCCAACUGAUUUUCGGUACAUUAACUUCAAACAUUGACUACAUGUUGUGCUACAUGAUUUUCUUUUAGUGAACUCAUUGACUACUAACAUCUUUGGUGCAGAGAGGUUCUGCAUGAAUAUGCAACACAGGUAAAGUUCAUUAUGCAUGUUCUGUUCAAGGCCAUGGAAAAAUCUCUGAAUUUAGAAGAGAACAGCUUUUUAGAUAAGCUGCUUGGAGAAAAAGCUCAGAUGAGAGCAAGAUUCAACUUCUAUCCGCGGUGUUCAAGAGCCGAUAAGGUGUUUGGUUUGAAGCCUCAUAUAGAUGCGUCAGGAAUGACUCUUCUGUUGCAGGACAAAGAAGUGGAAGGUCUUCAAGUUUUGGUGGAUGGUAUAUGGUUUAGAGUCCCCAUUGUGCCAGCUGCCAUUGUUGUUAAUCUUGGUGGUCAAAUGCAGGUAAAAAGAUUUACUUAUCACUCUAAUGUGUUUAACUGCUUUCAAAUUUCAGAAGUUUCGUAAUAUAUAGUUUUUGAUAGUAUGAAUUCAUGAUGCAGAUUAUGAGUAAUGGCAUAUUCAAAAGCCCAGUGCACAGAGCGGUGACAAAUCCAGAAAGAAUGAGGCUCUCUGUGGCCUUGUAUAAUGCACCAGAUCCUGAAACUGAGAUUGGUCCAGUGGAGAAACUAAUAGAUGAAACAAGGCCAAGGUCAUACAAAAAUGUCAAGAACUAUGCCUAUAUCAACUAUGAGUGCACUCAGAGAGGAGAAUUAGGGGUUGAAACAUUAAAGAUUUGAAUUUCACUUCUCUCUAGUCUGUAUAUUUAUCACGUAGAACUAUGUUGUGAAUGCACUAGGAAAGUUUUCAAACAAGACCAACCCUGUGCAGGGGCGGAUACAUGUAUUAGGCUGUCUGGGCUGCAACCUAGACAGAAUUCUCUAUAUGUAGUAAAUGAAUACCCACUAGUAAUCAAAGAUGCUUUGGCGCAAUUGGCAUUCUCCCCAACUUUACUUCAGUAUGGGUCAGAGGUUCGACUCCUUCUGAUGCUUUUACACAAGCAGAUUUGAUGAUUUCACCUAGUUUUCCAAUAUUUUCUCCUUCCUUUAUUCAUUUUUGACCCUACAAACCACACACUUAUGAAACCUAUAUUUCUUUGACUUUGCAUGUUCUUUUCCCUUCUCAUUUUCUUCACUUUCCUACUUUGGUUAAAUUAUUAUUUUUCCAUUGUUUUGGCAAUAAUCUAUUUUUCUAUUAGCAUUUUGUUGUAAUUUUUUUAAAUGCUUUCUCAUAUACUCCUACACUUCCAUUAAUGUUUCUUUAAAUGUUUUCUCAUAUNNNNNNNNNNNNNNNNNNNNNNNNNNNNNNNNNNNNNNNNNNNNNNNNNNNNNNNNNNNNNNNNNNNNNNNNNNNNNNNNNNNNNNNNNNNNNNNNNNNNNNNNNNNNNNNNNNNNNNNNNNNNNNNNNNNNNNNNNNNNNNNNNNNNNNNNNNNNNNNNNNNNNNNNNNNNNNNNNGCUCUGUCCAAGUCUGUCACGAAUUCGGCUACCGCCCCCGAGCUCCCUGACGGGACCCGACCCGAUAUCUCCAAUUUAAUCCCCAUGACCACCAUCCUCAAUUGGUGCGACCACAACCACGUCGACCGCCCCCAGCCGCCCGAUUUGCCCUCCGUCAAGUAGUAGUUAUAUGAUUCGGCUUGGACGAGAGAUUGGAGGAGAAUUUGAGCCAGCGGUCGUCCACUUCGGCGGAGAAGUAUAGCAUGGCGAGCUCAGUGAGGACCAUGACUCUACCGGCAAAGUCAACGAGGACAGAGCCGAGCUGGGGCAACGCGCGGAAGCGGCACAUGAAGGGGUUGCAAAGGAGGAGGGACUUGGAGGAGUCGGAGGGGGAGUCGGCCCAGAGGUAGAGGAGGCCAGAGGAGGAGGCGACGGGGUGGGGCGAGCGGAAGGGGAGGAAGUCGAGGAAGAAGCGGAGCCAGCGGUGGAGGUCUUUACGAUUUUUCUUUUGUUAUUUUAAGUUUUCUUCUUCUGUAAGGAUAGAGUCUCAAUCCCAAUCCAAUUCUUUUCUAGUAUAACAAACAUCCUAUUGGAUAGGAGGCAGAUAUCUUCAAAUCCAAUCUAGUCAAGUUGGAACAAGACUUGAUUAGAAAUCCAAUCUAGUCCAUGGUACCAAACACGGCCAUAAAGUACCUUCCCUAGACCUGCCUGAAACAGAAAUAUCUGCAAUAUUAUUACAUUGGGAAGAAUGCAUAGUUGCAUGCUUUGACUGCUACCCACAUGAAAACAUAUUAAAUUAGGAUAGACUCUAAUUCUUGUUUCUGAUCUGAAUACAAUAAAGUCCAAUUCUUCUGUCAUUUGCUUAUCAUAAAUCACUCAGCAAUUUGCAGCUAAAUCUACAAAAACCCUUCACAAAAUCCACACAGUAAGAAAGACAUGGCUAAAUCUUCCGCGCCUGCCCAGUUCGAGUUAUUAGCAACCAAAACUGUCCAAGAGCAACUCAUAGAAGGAGAAGUACUGGUACCCCCACCGAAAUAUAUUCUCAAAGAUGGAGUUCCACUUCCAGAUGCUUCUGUUGAGUUCAUGGAUGUUCCAGUUAUUGAUCUUGGCCUCCUCACACCAUCCUCAAUCAGUAUGGAAGAAUUUGAAAAACUCAGAUCAGCUUUAAACAAAUGGGGUUGCUUUCAGGUAUGAAUCCAAACAACUUGAGAAACUCUUAGAAGCUAGAACAAUAGAUCUACUACCAAGUUUUGUGAUGGUGGACUUGCUAGUUGCUAUAUAUGUGUAACUUUUUUGAGGCUGCAUAUUGUGUUUUCCAGGUAGUUAACCAUGGAAUGACUCCUGAAUUCCUUGACCAAGUCCGUGAAAUCACGAAACAGUUUUUUGCAAUGCCAGCGGAAGAGAAGAAGAAAUAUUUGAGGCCAGUCGACAAUAUUGAAGGAUAUGGGAAUGACAUGGUAUUUUCAGAGCAGCAAACACUUGAUUGGACCGACAGACUAUACCUUACAGUAUAUCCACCAGACAAGCACAAGCUAAAGUUUUGGCCUGAAAAUCCCAAAUCUUUCAGGUAACAUACUAGUAUAUAUGAUCAGAACUUAGAACUCAACUUUUUAUCAAGCAAUCAAUAGAUGGUUAUUGAUCCUAUUACUGAUGUACACUGCAGGGAUACUCUAGACCAAUAUACCUGUAAGUUACAGGUGAUAACAGAAACUGUCCUUAAGGGCAUGGCGCGGUCAUUGAAUUUGGAGGAAGAUUGCUUUCUGAAAAAGUAUGGAGAACAAAGGAAAAUGGAUGCUAGGUUCAACUUCUAUCCUCCAUGUUCUAGGCCUGAUCGCGUACUCGGUACCAAGCCACAUGCAGAUGGAACAUUAAUAACCCUUCUGUUGCAAGAUAAAGAAGUGGAAGGUCUUCAAUUUAUGAAAGAUGACCGAUGGUAUAGGGCUCCCAUUGUUCCGGAGGCGCUUCUCAUUAAUGUUGGUGAUCAAGCUGAGGUAACUAAAGCUUCAAAUGUGUUUACCUCAGAUAUUAAAACCUGUUCAUUUUGGCUACAACUAAUUUCCAUUAAAACCUGUUCAUUUUGAUGCACAGAUAUUGAGCAAUGGACUGUUCAAGAGUCCGGUGCACAAGGUUGUAACAAAUGCAGAGAAGGAGAGGAUAUCCUUGGCUGUGUUCUGUGUCCCGGAUUCAGAGACAGAGAUUGAACCCUUUGAAAGCCUCAUCAAUGAGUCAAGGCCAAGGUUGUACAAAAAGCUGAAGAACUACGUUGGCAUCUAUUUCGAGUACUACCAGCAGGGAAGAAGACCAAUUGAAGCAGCAAUAAUAUAACCUCUGGUUACGUAACUCUUAUGGCUUGUACCAAGAGACCAAUAAAGUUGUAUUGCUGAGAAGAUGGUGGCAUGAUUCCUAAGCAGAUACUGUUAUUUAAGUUUUCUUCUAUUUUAUCUUAACUUGGUUUUAACUUCUAAAGUUCUAAUUGGAUGAAGAUAUAAUUUUUGAAGCAUGAAAUGAAUAAAGAUCGUCAUUCAUACCAUGUAGAAGAUAUAAACUAAACACCAAAAUUGUUGGCAGGAUCUUAUUUAUAUUGAUGUAAACAAAGUGAGGGAAAGAACACAUAUAGGAGCUGCUUUGGAUGAUGGCAAUGUCUUCUCAUCGAUCAAUCUUUCAAUUUCUUCUUCAUGCAAUGCAUUCGACUUCAAUAUUGCUCAGGAACAACCAUUGCCACAAUCUCUUCCAUGAAUGUUCCAUCAAUUGGUUCUGUUGCAAUCAAUGAAGGUUUUAUAGAUAUGCUACAGCAAGGAAUAGAUCAGCCGAGGACUACUGUUAACAAUUCAAACAGACGCUGCUGCUACAACUUUCUAAGCUCACACAUAUAUUGAAGUGAUUUCAGCGUCUGCUACAACUUUCUAAGCUCACACAUAUAUUGAAGUGAUUUCUUUCAAAUGUAUUUAUAUGACAUAAACUGAUUAGGGAAAUGCAGUCCUGGUACCUUAGCUUCAUAGUUGCUGUUUUAGUGUUCAAAUCUUUAUAUCAGACUAAUGUUUGCAAGACAUAUUAACUACACACUUGGUUAUAUACAACAAUACAUACCCUGCACUACUUGCUACACACAGAAUUCCAAUAUAGCAAAAACAACAAAAUCCUUAUAUGAAGAAUUUAUAUUGAAGCUUAUAAGGUUACCUUAAGCAUAAAGAGCAGCCGGUGACGGCGGUCUCCGGCCGAGUCUGGGUCGCCGGAGAGAGAUGAGAGAUGAUAGAAAACGGCCAGACCAAGAGACGUCGAUCAAAGACCCGCGCAGUCUUCAGUUUUAGUCAUACUCCUUCAGUCAUUUUUAGGUUUUUUUUUUUAAAAACAAUUUAAAGGUGGGCCAACCAUCCUGCCUAGACCCAAUUAAAUAAGGUUCCGCCAAGCGGGCCCAAAGCUCCUCCUAGCCCAAGUAAGGCCCAGUCCUCCAUCUUCUCCGGCGAGAAGUCGACCGACCGUUGUAGACUUGUAGUUAUGCAUGUGAAUCAUCUGUGUUACUUCGUUUUUAUGUUCAGUUGGUGUUGAUUUGAGGAUGAAUAUUGGAAACUUGGAAUGAACAGAAGAACUGUGAAAAUGCAAUGUAAAAAGGAUGAACAAUUAGAUAAAAACCAAAAGACAUGAAAUAAAAACCGACACACAGAUGGAUUCUCUGUUUAGCCUCCCUCUUCUUUGGCUUUUUCGUCUUCAUGCUGACGUUCAACAAUUGACACCAUGUAAAGACUAACGUGGAUACAGCAUAGAAGCCUAUCCCAAUCAUAAUCCCCUUCUCAUCUUAACACAAUAAAGCACGAAACCCUAUACAAAAUCCACACAGAAAGAAAGACAUGGCUGAUCAAUCUUCCACUCCUGCCAAGGUCGAGUUUUUAGCUACCAAAACCGUGCAAGAGCAACUCACUGAAGGAGAACUACUAGUACCACCACCGGAAUAUAUUCUCAAAGAUGGAAUCCCAUGUCCGAAUGCUUCUCUUGAGUUAAUGGAUGUUCCAAUUAUUGAUCUUGGUCUCCUCAUCCCUUCCUCAAUCAGUGUGGAAGAACUUGACAAACUCAGAUCAGCUCUUACCACGCGCGGUUGCUUUCAGGUUUGAACUUACACAAGAAGAAGUGAAUUUGUUAGUAGUUAGGACAAUGGAUGAUAUUCCAAUACCAAGUUAGUUAGAUGGUAGACUUGCUAUGUAAAACAUGUUUGAGGCUGCUCAUUGUGUUUUUCAGGUAAUAAACCAUGGAAUGACUCUUGAAUUCCUUGACAAAGCCCGUGAAAUCACCAAGCAGUUUUUCGCUAUGCCAGUGGAAGAGAAACAGAAAUAUUUGAGGCCAGUUGAUGAUUUUGAAGGAUAUGGGAAUGACAUGGUUGUUUCAGAGCAGGAAACACUUGAUUGGACUGACAGACUAUACCUUACUGCAUAUCCACCAGACCAGCGCAAGCUCAAGUUGUGGCCUGAAAAUCCCAAAUCUUUCAGGUAACAUAUAUAAUCAGAAAUCAGAACUUCGAACUGACCUUUUUAUCAAGCAAUCAAAAGAUGGUUAUUGAUGCUAUAAAUGAUGUAAACUGCAGGGAUACUCUAGACCAAUAUACCAGUAAGUUACAGGUGAUAACUGAAACUGUCCUUAAGGGCAUGGCGCGGUCAUUGAAUUUGGAGGAAGAUUGCUUUGUGAACAUGUAUGGAGAACAAAGGAAAAUGGAUGCUAGGUUUAACUUAUAUCCUCCAUGUUCAAGGCCUGAUUGUGUCCUUGGUUUCAAGCCACAUUCAGAUAGUUCAAUAAUCACCAUUAUUUUGCAAGAUAAAGAAGUGGAAGGUCUUCAAUUUAUGAAAGAUGAUCAAUGGUUUAGGGCUCCCAUUGUUCCUGAGGGGCUUCUCAUUGUUGUUGGUGAUCAAAUAGAGGUAACUAAAGCUUUAAAUAUCUUUGUAUAUCAAUUUUUUUAGCUAAGAUCAACUAACUGCCAUCAAAACCUGGUCUUUGUGAUGCACAGAUAUUGACUAAUGGACUGGUCAAGAGCCCUGUGCACAAGGUAGUGAUAAAUGGAGAAAAGGAGAGGAUUUCUGUGGCUGUGUUCUGUGUCCCGGAUUCAGAGACAGAGAUUGAACCCUUUGAAAGCCUCAUCAAUGAGUCAAGGCCAAGGUUGUACAAAAAGCUGAAAAAUUACGUUGAGAUCUAUUUUGAACACUUCCUGCAGGGAAGAAGGCCAAUUGAAGCAGCACUAAUAUGAUCUCUGAAUAUGAAUCUCUUAUGUCUUGUAGCAUGUUAAAGAUGAAUAAACUUGUAUUACUUAUGGAAAUGGUGGCAUGAUUCCUAAGCAAAUUUUGUUGUUUUCAUUUUUUUCUAUUUUUAAUCUGGUUAUAACUUCUAAUGGGAUGAGGAAAGAAUCGGGUAGCUUAAAAUUACGAAAGAAAAAUCAUUCAAAGUGUGGGAAACAAUACUUACAGGAGCUUCCCUAACAACUUUGGAUAAUGGCUGUGUCCAAAGUUGGAUAUGGAAAUACAUUAUCAGUUCUAAGUUCUGAUAAUGGCUGUGUCCAAAGUGUGGGAAACAAUACUUACAGGAGCUUCACAUAUUGAAGGAUAUGGGAAUGACAUGGUAUUUUCAGAGCAGCAGACACUUGAUUGGACUGACAGACUAUACCUUACAGUAUAUCCACCAGACAAGCGCAAGCUAAAGUUUUGGCCUGAAAAUCCCAAAUCUUUUAGGUAACAUACUAGCAUAUAUGAUCAGAACUUAGAACUCAAACUUUUUAUCAAGCAAUUAAUAGAUGGUUAUUGAUCCUAUUACUGAUGUACACUGCAGGGAUACUCUAGACCAAUAUACCAGUAAGUUACAGGUGAUAACUGAAACUGUCCUUAAGGGCAUGGCUCGGUCAUUGAAUUUGGAGGAAGAUUGCUUUCUGAACAAGUAUGGAGAACAAAGGAAAAUGGAUGCUAGGUUCAACUUCUAUCCUCCAUGUUCUAGGCCUGAUCGCGUACUCGGUACCAAGCCGCAUGCAGAUGAAACAUUAAUAACCCUUCUGUUGCAAGAUAAAGAAGUGGAAGGUCUUCAAUUUAUGAAAGAUGACCAAUGGUAUAGGGCUCCCAUUGUUCCGGAGGCGCUUCUCAUUAAUGUUGGUGAUCAAGCUGAGGUAACUAAAGCUUCAAAUGUGUUUGUAUCUCAAUGGUUUCGGCUAUAACUAAUUUCCAUUAAAACCUGUUCAUUUUGACGCACAGAUAUUGAGCAAUGGACUGUUCAAGAGUCCAGUGCACAAGGUUGUAACAAAUGCAGAAAAGGAGAGGAUAUCCUUGGCUGUGUUCUGUGUCCCGGAUUCAGAGACAGAGAUUGAACCCUUUGAAAGCCUCAUCAAUGAGUCAAGGCCAAGGUUGUACAAAAAGCUGAGGAACUACGUUGGCAUCUAUUUCGAGUACUACCAGCAGGGAAGAAGACCAAUUGAAGCAGCAAUAAUAUAACCUCUGGUUAUGUAUCUCUUAUGGCUUGUACCAAGAGACGAAUAAAGUUGUAUUACUGAGAAGAUGGUGGCAUGAUUCCUCAGCAGAUACUGUUAUUUAAGUUUUCUUCUAUUUUAUCUUAACAUGGUUUUAACUUCUAAAGUUGAUGAAGAUAGAAAUUUUGAAGCAUGAAAUUAAUAAAGAUCGUCAUUCAUACCAAGUAAAAGGUAUAAACUAUACACCAAAAAUUGUUGGCAGGAUCUUAUUUAUAUGGAUGUAAACAAAGUGAGGGAAAGAACACAUAUAGGAGCUGCUUUGGAUGAUGGCAAUGUCUUCUCAUCGAUCAAUCUUUCAAUUUCUUCUUCAUGCAAUGCAUUCGACUUCAAUAUUGCUCAGGAACAACCAUUGCCACAAUCUCUUCCAUGAAGGUUCCAUCAAUUGGUUCUGUUGCAAUCAAUGAAGGUUUUAUAGAUAUGCUACAGCAAGGAAUAGAUCAUCCGAGGACUACCGUUAACAAUUCAAACAGACCCUGCUGCUACAAUUUUCUAAGCUCACACAUAAAUUGAAGUGAUUUCUUUCAAGUGUAUUUAUAUGACAUAAAAUGAUUACGGAAAUGCAGUCCUGGUACCUUAGCUUCAUAGUUGCUGUUUUAGUGUUCAAAUCUUUAUGUCAGACUAAUGUUUGCAAGACAUAUUAACUACACACUUGGUUAUAUACAACAAUACAUACCCUGCACUACUUGCUACACACAGAAUUCCAAUAUAGCAAAAACUACAAAUUCCUUAUAUAACAACACUUAUAUUGAAGCUUAUAAGGUUACGUUAAGCAUAAAGAGCAGCCGGUGACGGCGGUAUCCGGCCGAGUCUGGGUCGCCGGAGAGAGAUGAGAGAAGACGGCCAGACCAAGAGACGUCGAUCAAGACCCGCAGAAGUCUAUAGUUUUAGUCAUUUUGGUUUUAUUUUUAUUUUUAAAGGUGGGCCAACCAUCCUGCCUAGGCCCAACUAAACAAAGUUCCGCCUAGAGGGCCCAAAGCUCCGCCUAGCCCGAUUAAGGCCCAGUUCUCCAUAUACCUCUUUUUUUCUGAACAGGUACCUCUUAGUUUCUCAUCCGUUUUUCACGAUGAGGUCCAGUUUCCCGUCCAUCUUCUCCGGCGAGAAGUAGACCGACCGUUGUGUUUUCAUGGAUGCUUGGUCGUCCAACAUACCUUCAUUUGUUCUAUAUGAAAGGAAGCAAGCUUUGCCUUGUCCAGACUCUCCACCUUGGUUACUUUCUGCUCUAAUAACUUGUGUCAGUUGUGUGUUGUAGACUUGUAGUUAUGCAUGUGAAUCAUCUGUGUUACUUCGUUUUUAUGUUCGUUCAGUUAGUGUUGAUUUGAAGACGAAUGUUGGAAACUUGGAAUGACCAGAAGAACUGUGAAAAUGCAAUGUAAAAAGGAUGAACAAUUAGAUAAAAACCGACACACACACUCAUACCAAGUGAUAGGCUAUUAUAUUAAUUCUGUGAUCAUAAUCAUAGGCUAUUAUAUUAAGUCUAGUGCAACAAAGUCCAACUCUUCAGCCAUUUGCUUAUCAUAAAAGCACUCAGAAAUUUGCAGCUAAAUCUACAAAAACCCUCUACAAAAUCCACACAGGAAGAAAGACAUGGCUGAGUCUUACUCUCCUGCCAAGCUCGAGUUAUUUGCAACCAGAUCUGUGCAAGAGCAACUCGCUGAAGGUGAACUACUAGUACCAUCACAGAAAUAUAUUCUCAAAGAUGGAAUCACACUUCCAGAUGCUUCUGUUGACUUGAUGGAUGUUCCGGUUAUUGAUCUUGGUCUCCUCACACCUUCCUCAAUCAGUGAAGAAGAAUUUGACAAACUAAGAUCAGCUCUAACCAAAUGGGGUUGCUUUCAGGUAUGAAUUCAAACAACUGAGAAACUCUUAGAAGUCAGAAGACACUAGAUCUGAAGUUCUAUGAUGGUACAUUUGCUAUGUAUAACAUUUUUGAGGCUGCUUAUUGUGAUUUCCAGGUAAUAAACCAUGGAAUGACUCCAGAAUUCCUUGACAAAGUCCGUGAAGUCACGAAACAAUUCUUUGCAAUGCCCCUGGAAGAGAAGCAUAAAUAUUUGAGGCCAGCCGACGAUAUUGAAGGAUAUGGGAAUGACAUGGUUUUUUCAGAGGAGCAAACACUUGAUUGGACAGACAGACUAUACCUUAAUGUUUAUCCACCAGACCUGCGCAAGCUAAAGUUUUGGCCUGAAAAUCCCAUAUCUUUUAGGUAACGUGCUCACAUAUUUGAUCAGAACUUAGAACUGAACUUUUUAUCAAGGAAUCAAAAGGUGGUUAUUGAUCCUGAUAGUGAUUUACAAUGCAGGGAUACUCUAGACCAGUAUAUCAGUCAGUUACAGGUGAUAACAGAAACUGUCCUUAAGGGCAUGGCGCGGUCAUUGAAUUUGGAGGAAGAUUGCUUUCUGGACAAGUAUGGAGAACAAAGGAAAAUGCAGGCUAGGUUCUGCUUCUAUCCUCCAUGUUCAAGGCCCGAUCGCGUACUCGGUGUCAAGCCACAUGGAGAUGGAUCACUGAUCACCCUUCUGUUGCAAGAUAAAGAAGUGGAAGGUCUUCAAUUUCUGAAAGAUAAUCAAUGGUUUAGAGCUCCAAUUGUUGCCGAGGCUCUUCUCAUUAAUGUUGGUGAUCAAGCAGAGGUAACUAAGGGUUCAAAUGUCUUUGUAUCUCGAUAUUUUGGCUAAAAUUAAUUCCCAUCAAAACCUGUUCCUUUUGAUGCACAGAUAUUGAGCAAUGGACUGUUCAAGAGCCCAGUGCACAAGGUAGUGACAAAUGCAGAGAAGGAGAGGAUUUCUUUGGCUGUGUUCUGUCUUCCGGAUUCAGAGACAGAGAUUGGACCCUUUGAAAGCCUCAUCAAUGAGUCAAGGCCAAGGUUGUAUAAAAAUCUGAAAAACUACCUUGGCUUCUAUUUCCAAUACUACCAGCAGGGAAGAAGACCAAUUGAGGCAGCAAUAAUAUAACACCUCUAUAUAUCUCUUAUGGCUUGUACCAAAAGAUGAAUAAAGUUGUAUUACUGAGAAGAUGGUGGCAUGAUUCCUAAGCAAAUUUUGUUAUCUUCAUUUUCUUCUAUUUUAUCUUAAUUUGGUUAAACAAUGUAUACAGGACCUUUGUCUUCUUACCGAUCCAUCGCUAAUUGCUUCUUCCUGCAACGCAUCCUACUUAAAUAACGCAGUUGUGCACUAUUGCACAAGAAAAACCAAUGCAACAAUAAUCUCUUCCAAGAAGGUUUCAUCAUCGGAUUUGUUGCAAUCCAUGAAGCUUUUACAGAUAUGCUACAGCAUCCUCCAUGAAGGUUUGUUAAUUGGUUGAUGCAUUCCAUUAAGUUUUUACAGUACUUAGCUUCAUGGUUGCUAACUUGCUGUAUUAGUGUUCAAAUCUUUAUAUCAUAAUCACUGUCUAUAAGUUCUGGUCAUCCAUCCAAGGUUUCAUAUCUGUCAAUAUGCCUAUAUUUUCCUCCAUAUAUCCAUUUUUUUAGCUUGGUAUAUCAUACAGGGAUAAUAUCUUAACUUUCUUUGACUCGAGAGAUAUUAAAUAUCAUAGAUUUGGGAGGAACAUUAAGUUUUGAGUGUAAUCCCUGACUGAAACUAAUCUAAACAAAGCUCCAUUAUUGAUUCAUUGGACAACAAGAAGAAAAAAAAAGAAUAAAAAAAAAAAGUAACUCAAUUAUUCACAUAAAAACAUACCUAGGUUUCACUUUCAAAAAGUUACUCAAUUACCCCAUGCCUCAAUUAUAUGGAGGUUUCAGGAAAAGAAAACAAGAAUCCAAAGAUGAUGACAUGCAUAGUUCAUAAGCUGAGUCAUGACUAGCUAGUGUGGACAAGAACUAGCCAACAUUUCAGAACCCUACACUAGCUGCCGUAUUCCAGAAGUGACCCUUUUUCAUUGGCCUAUAAAAUUACCCUAUCUCUCCCUCUGAAUUCAUCAACAAGGAAAUACUUGUGUCAUUUGCUUAUCAUUGAAGCAGCGAGGCACUUGCAUCUAAAUCUACAAAAACCCUUUACAGAAUCCACACAGAAAGUAAGACAUGGCUGAAUCAUCCACUCCUGCAAAGUUUGAGUUAUUAGCAACCAAAACUGUGCAAGAGCAACUCACUGAAGUAGAAAUACUAGUACCACAGAACUACAUUCUCAAAGAUGGAAUCCCACUUCCAGAUCCUUCUGUUGAGUUUAUGGAUGUUCCGGUGAUUGAUCUUGGUCUCCUUACACCUUACUCAGAAGGUGUCGAAGAACUUGACAAACUCAGAUCAGCUCUUAUUACAGGGUGUUGCUUUCAUGUAUGAAUUCAAACAACUUGAGGAACUCUUAGAAGUUAGAAAAAUAGAACUAAUACCAAAUUCUGUGAUGGUAGGCUUUUUAUGUAUAACAGUUUGAGGCUGCUUAUUGUGUUUGACUGUUUUCUAGGUAAUAAACCAUGGAAUGACAGCUGAAUUCCUUGACGAAGUACGUGAAAUCAUAAAACAGUUUUUCGCAAUUCCAGUGGAAGAGAAGCAGAAAUAUCUGAGGGAAGUCAACGAUUUUGAAGGAUAUGGGAAUGACAUGGUACUUUCAGAGCAGCAAACACUUGAUUGGACUGACAGACUAUACCUUACUGUAUAUCCACCAGACCAGCGCAAGUUGAAGUUUUGGCCUGAAAAUCCCAUAUCUUUUAGGUAACAUCUAUGGUCAGAACUCAGAAUUCCCCUAUUUAUGAAGUGAUUGAAAGAUGGUUAUUGAUCCUUCGAAUGAUGUUCUCUGCAGGGAUACUCUAGACCAAUUUACCAGUAGGUUACAGGUCAUAACAGAAACUAUCCUUAUGAGCAUGGCGAGGUCAUUGAAUUUGGAGGAAGAUUGCUUUAUGGACAAGUAUGGAGAACAAAGGAAAAUGGAGGCUAGGUUUAACUUAUAUCCUCCAUGUUCAAGGCCUGAUUGUGUCCUUGGUUUCAAGCCACAUUCAGAUAGUUCAAUAAUCACCAUUGUCUUGCAAGACAAAGAAGUGGAAGGUCUUCAAUUUCUGAAAGAUGAUCGAUGGUUUAGGGCUCCCAUUGUUCCUGAGGCGCUUCUCAUUAAUGUUGGUGAUCAAGUAGAGGUAACUAAGAUUCUAAAUGUCUUUGAAUCUCAAUGUCUUGGUUAUGACUAUCUAACUGCCAUCAAAACCUGAUCUUUGUGAUUCAUAGAUAAUGACUAAUGGACUGUUCAAGAGCCCAGUGCACAAGGUAGUGAUAAAUGGAGAAAAGGAGAGGAUUUCUUUGGCUGUGUUCUGUUUCCCAGAUUCAGGGACAGAGAUUAAACCCUUUGAUUGCCUCAUCAAUGAGUCAAGGCCAAGGUUGUACAAAAAGAUAAAAAACUACGGUGACAUCUUUUUCGAAUACUACCAGCAGGGAAGAAGACCAAUCGAAGCAGCAAUAAUGUAACCUUCAGUAUGUCUCAUAACUUUGUCAGUUGUGUGUAGUAGACUUGUAGUUAUGCAUGUGAAUCAUCUGUGUUACUUCGUUUUUAUGUUCAGUUAGUAUUGAUGUGAAGAUGAAUGUUGGAAACUUGGAAUGAACAGAAGAACUGUGAAAAUGCAAUGUAAAAAGGAUGAACAAUUAGAUAAAAACCGAAAGACACGAAAUAAAAACCGACGCACAGACACUCAUACCAACUAAUAUCACAGACCACAGGCAUGAGUCUUAUCGAUUUUCAUGGAUGCUCUGUUUAGCCUCCCACUUCUUUGGCUUUUUCCUCUUCAUGCUGACGUUCAACUAUUGACACCGUGUAAUGACUAACGUGGAUACAGCAUAGAAGCCUAUCCCAAUCAUAAUCCCCUUCUCAUCUUAACACAUUAAAGCCCAAACCCUUUUGCAAAAUCCAUACAGAAAGAAAGACAUGGCUGAUCAAUCUUCCACUCCUGCCAAGGUCGAGUUUUUAGCUACCAAAACUGUGCAGGAGCAACUCACUGAAGGAGAACUACUAGUACCACCACCGAAAUAUAUUCUCAAAGAUGGAAUCCCAUGUCCGAAUGCUUCUCUUGAGUUGAUGGAUGUUCCAAUUAUUGAUCUUGGUCUCCUCAUCCCUUCCUCAAUCAGUGUGGAAGAACUUGACAAACUCAGAUCAGCUCUUACCGCGCGGUUGCUUUCAGGUUUGAACUUAAAUAACAAGAAGUGAAUUUGUUAGUAGUUAGGAGUUAGGACAAUGGAUGAUAUUCCAAUACCAAGUUCGUUAGAUGGUAGACUUGCUAUGUAUAACAUGUUUGAGGCUGCUUAUUGUGUUUUUCAGGUAAUAAACCAUGGAAUGACUCUUGAAUUCCUUGACAAAGCCCGUGAAAUCACCAAGCAGUUUUUCGCAAUGCCAGUGGAAGAGAAGCAGAAAUAUUUGAGGCCAGUUGAUGAUUUUGAAGGAUAUGGGAAUGACAUGGUUGUUUCAGAGCAGGAAACACUUGAUUGGACUGACAGACUAUACCUUACUGCAUAUCCACCAGACCAGCGCAAGCUCAAGUUGUGGCCUGAAAAUCCCAAAUCUUUCAGGUAACACAUAUAAUCAGAAAUCAGAACUUCGAACUGACCUUUUUAUCAAGCAAUCAAAAGAUGGUUAUUGAUGCUAUAAAUGAUGUAAACUGCAGGGAUACUAUAGACCAAUAUACCAGUAAGUUACAGGUGAUAACUGAAACUGUCCUUAAGGGCAUGGCUCGGUCAUUGAAUUUGGAGGAAGAAUGCUUUGUGAACAUGUAUGGAGAACAAAGGAAAAUGGAUGCUAGGUUUAACUUAUAUCCUCCACAUUCAAGGCCUGAUUGUGUCCUUGGUUUCAAGCCGCAUUCAGAUAGUUCAAUAAUCACCAUUAUUUUGCAAGAUAAAGAAGUGGAAGGUCUUCAAUUUAUGAAAGAUGAUCAAUGGUUUAGGGCUCCCAUUGUUCCUGAGGGGCUUCUCAUUGUUGUUGGUGAUCAGAUAGAGGUAACUAAAGCUUUAAAUGUAUUUCUAUUUCAAUUGUUUUAGCUAAGAUCAACUAACUGCCAUCAAAACCUGGUCUUUGUGAUGCACAGAUAUUGACUAAUGGACUGUUCAAGAGCCCUGUGCACAAGGUAGUGAUAAAUGGAGAAAAGGAGAGGAUUUCUGUGGCUGUGUUCUGUGUCCCGGAUUCAGAGACAGAGAUUGAACCCUUUGAAAGCCUCAUCAAUAAAUCAAGGCCAAGGUUGUACAAAAAGCUGAAAAACUACGUUGAGAUCUAUUUCAAAUACUUCCUGCAGGGAAGAAGACCAAUUGAAGCACACUAAUAUAAUCUCUGAAUAUAAAUCUCUUAUGUUUUGUAGCAAGUUAAAGAUGAAUAAACUUGUAUUACUUAUGGAAAUGGUGGCAUGAUUCCUAAGCAAAUUUUGUUGUUUUCAUUUUUUUCUAUUUUUAAUCUGGUUAUAACUUCUAAUGGGAUGAGGAAAAAAUCGGGUAGCUUAAAAUUACGAAAGAAAAAUCAUUCAAAGUGUGGGAAACAAUACUUACAGGAGCUUCCCUAACAACUUUGGAUAAUGGCAGUGUCUUCUUACAGAUCCAUCAUCAAUAUUGCUUCUUCAUGCAAUGCAUUUGACCUCAAUAACUCAGUUGUCCACUAUUGCUCAAGAACAACCAUUGCCACAAUCUCUUUCAUGAAGGUUUGAUUACCUGGAAUUUUGCAAUCCAUGAAGGUUUUACAGAUAUGCUUCAGAAGGGAAUAGACAAUCUGAGGAUUACGUUAACAACCAACAGACCCUGUUGCUAUAACAUUAUAAGCUCACACAUAAACUGAAGUCAUUUCUUUCAAAUUUAUAUGCAUGACAAAAAUUGAUUAGGGGAAAUGCAAUACUAGUUAUUAGGUUCAUAGUAGCUAUUUUAGUGUUCAAAUCUUUGUAUAAGAAUAACCUUUGUAUAAGAAGACAUACCCUGCAACAGUUGCUACACACAAAUUAUUGACACAAACCACCAAAGGCAACCGCUACGGCCUGUGAGCACUAUUCCAAAUGGAUCUGAAAUUUCUCAAUAGUUGUUAAAACUAUGAAUGCUAUGAGAGAGGAGAAGUACCACUUGAAACACUAUAGAUCAAGACUUUACUUCUAACUAAAUUGUCUAAUCAUAGGCUAUUAUAUUAAGUCUAGUGGAAAAAAAGUCCAACUCCUCAGCCAUUUGCUUAUCAUAAAAGCACUCAGAAAUUUGCAGCUAAAUCUACAAAAACCCUUCACAAAAUCCACACAGUAAGAAAGACAUGGCUAAAUCUUCCACUCCUGCCAAGUUCGAGUUAUUAGCAACCAAAACUGUCCAAGAGCAACUCAUUGAAGGAGAAGUACUGGUACCCCCACCGAAACUUAGAACUCAACUUUUUAUCAAGCAAUCAAUAGAUGGUUAUUGAUCCUAUUACUGAUGUACACUGCAGGGAUACUCUAGACCAAUAUACCAGUAAGUUACAGGUGAUAACAGAAACAGUCCUUAAGGGCAUGGCGCGGUCAUUGAAUUUGGAGGAAGAUUGCUUUCUGAACAAGUAUGGAGAACAAAGGAAAAAGGAUGCUAGGUUCAACUUCUAUCUUCCAUGUUCUAGGCCUGAUCGCGUACUCGGUACCAAGCCACAUGCAGAUGGAACAUUAAUAACCCUUCUGUUGCAAGAUAAAGAAGUGGAAGGUCUUCAAUUUAUGAAAGAUGACCAAUGGUAUAGGGCUCCCAUUGUUCCGGAGGCGCUUCUCAUUAAUGUUGGUGAUCAAGCUGAGGUAACUAAAGCUUCAAAUGUGUUUGUAUCUCAAUGGUUUUGGCUAUAACUAAUUGCCAUUAAAACCCGUUCAUUUUGAUGCACAGAUAUUGAGUGAGCAAUGGACUGUUCAAGAGUCCAGUGCACAAGGUUCUAACAAAUGCAGAAAAGGAGAGGAUAUCCUUGGCUGUGUCCUGUGUCCCCGAUUCAGAGACAGAGAUUGAACCCUUUGAAAGCCUCAUCAAUGAGUCAAGUCCAAGGUUGUACAAAAAGCUGAAGAACUACGUGUUGAGAUUGGUGAUUCAUUCUCAUGCAACAAGGAACCAUGUGAUAGUUUGAUGCAGCAAAUAUUGACAUGGGUGAAUAGCUAGCUAUGCUAUAUCUACGUACAAAGCAAUAAAUGAUGUUUGUGGAAUUGAAGGUAUAAGGAAGUCUUCUAUGGUGUGCUUGCAGCAAAAUGAAUAGGAAGGAAGAAAAAGGAGUUCCCUUUUUCACAUGAAUAGAUGUUGCCUAUAAAUUGGCUGCAUGGAAACCAUUUGAAGCAUGCAAGCAAGUUUGCAUCAAGUAAGCAUCGGACAAGCAAUAGAGAGCUUGUGGGUUGUGCAUGAGAGUGAGAGAAAAAAGUGCUAAGAGGGAAAUUCUCUUAGGUGAGAUAUAGUGUUCUUGGGUAUUCUAUGAGUGAGGGUGUACAAGGGUUUGGAAUUUGGGUUAUGAGAUUUAACUCAUGUAUCUUGUACUAGUUUUAUUUUCAUAGUGGAAGAGCUAUAUUUUGGGGUGGACGUAGGCAGGAAAUUUGCCGAACCACGUUAAAUCUCGUGUCAACUGUGUUUUUCAUCCUUGUUUGUUAUUCUGCUUUAUUGCGGUGUUGUUGGGUGUAUAUGUUUCUGAAUCUCGAUUUGUUCGUGGGGUUAAAAUCCCAACACUACGUUGGCAUCUAUUUCGAGUACUACCAGCAGGGAAGAAGACCAAUUGAAGCAGCAAUAAUAUAACCUCUGGAAUAGAUCAGCCGAGGACUACUGUUAACAAUUCAAACAGACGCUGCUGCUACAACUUUCUAAGCUCACACAUAAAUUGAAGUGAUUUCAUUCAAAUGUAUUUUUUUAUAUGACAUAAAAUGAUUAGGGAAAUGCAGUCCUGGUACCUUAGCUUCAUAGUUGCUGUUUUAGUGUUCAAAUCUUUAUAUCAGACUAAUGUUUGCAAGACAUAUUAACUACACACUUGGUUAUAUACAACAAUACAUACCCUGCACUACUUGCUACACACAGAAUAUCCUUAUAUGAAGAAAGGAACAACACUUACAUUGCAGCUUAUAAGGUUACCUUAAGCAUAAAGAGCAGCCGGUGACGGCGGUCUCCGGCCAAGUCUGGGUCGCCGGAGAGAGAUGAGAAAUGAGAGAAUAUAGUUUUAGUCAUUUUGGUUUUUUAUUUUUUAUUUUUUUAAAGAUGCGCCAACCAUCUUGCCUAGGCCCAACUAAACAAAGAUCCACCUAGAGGGCCCAAAGCUCCGCCUAGCCCGAUUAAGGCCCAGUUCUCCAUAUACCUCUUUUUUCUGAACAGGUACCUCUUAGUUUCUCAUCCUUUUUUCACGAUGAGGUCCAGUUUCUCGUCCAUCUUCUCCGGCGAGAAGUAGACCGACCGUUGUGUUUUCAUGGAUGCUUGGUCGUCCAACAUACCUUCCAUUUGUUCUAUAUGAAAGGAAGCAAGCUUUGCUUUGUCCAGACUCUCCACCUUGGUUACUUUCCGCUCUAAUAACUUGUGUCAGUUGUGUGUUGUAGACUUGUAGUUAUGCAUGUGAAUCAUCUGUGUUUCUUCGUUUUUAUGUUCAGUUAGUGUUGAUUUGAAGAUGAAUGUUGGAAACUGUUGGGUUUCACGCAGCGGAUUGGUCAACAAGAUACGAUAUCAAGAAUGCAAUUAUAAUAGGGAAAAACAAACACACAACAACACAAGAUUUAACGUGGUUCCCUCACUCUUUGAGAUACGUCCACGGGGCGUGAUCCGAUCUUUCUUUACAAUUGAGAAUAAUGAGAACUAAAUGCAAGGUGUUUCACUCAGGUUUAUAACCCAAACUCGAACCCUUGAACCGUUGUACACCCCUCUCAACUCACACUCUCAAUACCCAAUAAAGCUAACUCUCUUAUAAUACUUGACAAAUAAUGAAAUUCUCUCUAAAUAAGAAACUAAACAACUCGGAUGCCACAUUACACAAUGCCAAUGUCGAAUGGCUGUUUAUAGCCAACUCCUUCUCUUACAACAUGCAAAACCAUGCAUAGAAGAAAAGCAAAGUCUUGCUUUUCCAUCUUUCCCGUUCAAUGUUUCUACACCCAAUAGCAUGAAACUAUUACCAAUAGUUCUCAACUAUUGUUUUCUCUACAUGCAUGUUCUCACUCUUUCUCUAUGCAUUCCCACAACAAUAAUGCAUGGAUGUAGGCUAGCUUGUUCACUUUCUUCAAAUAUGGCUGCACCUCCCUAGCGAUAUCUAGUUCCAUAGCACAAUAAAUGACUAACUCCUCAUGCAUUUACCAAAUUCUGUGAAGGUUUAGGGUAUUUCCAAUACUACCAGCAGGGAAGAAGAGCAAUUGAAGCAGCUUUAAUAUGACCUCAGAUUAUGUAUCUCUUAUGGCUUGUACCAAAAGAUGAAUAAAGUUGUAUAACUGAGAAGAUGGUGGCAUGAUUCCUAAGCAAAUUUUGUUAUUUUCGUUUUCUUCUAUUUUAUCUUAAUUUGGUUCUAACUUCUAAAGGGAUCAAGAUAGAAUCGGAGAAGCAUAAAAUAAAGAAAGAUCAUUAUUGGGAGUACAGGAAACAAUGUAUACAGGACCUAUGUCUUCUUACCGAUCCAUCGCUAAUUGCUUCUUCCCGCAACGCAUCCUACUUAAAUAACGCAGUUGUGCACUAUUGCACAAGAAAAACAAAUGCAACAAUAAUCUCUUCCAUGAAGGUUUCAUCAUCGGAUUUGUUGCAAUCCAUGAAGCUUUUACAGAUAUGCUACAGCAUCCUCCAUGAAGGUUUGUUAAUUGGUUCAUGCAUUCCAUUAAGUUUUUUACUACAUAUACAGACCCUGCUGCUAUGGCAUCACAGAAUGAUUAGGGAAAUCCGGAAAUGCAAUCCUAGUACUUAGCUGCAUGGUUGCUAACUUGCUGUAUUAGUGUUCAAAUCUUUAUAUCAUAAUCACUUUCUAUAAGUUCUGGUCAUCCAUCCAAGGUUUCAUAUCUGCCAAUAUGCCUAUAUUUUCCACCAUAUAUCCAUUUUUUUAGCUUGGUAUAUCAUACAGGGGUAAUAUCUUAACUUUCUUUGACUCGAGAAAUAUCAAAUAUCAUAGAUUUGGGAGGAACAUUAAGUUUUGAGUGGAAAAAUAACCCUAAAUUGGUUCUGUAAUCCCUGACUGAAACCAAUCUAAACAAAGCUCCAUUAUUGAUUCAUUGGACAACAAGAGAAAACAAAAGAAAAAAAAAAAUGUAACUCAAUUAUUCACAUAAAAACAUACCUCAAGGAGGUUUCACAUAAAAACAUACCUCAAGGAGGUUUCACUUUCAAAAAGCAACUCAAUUACAUGGAGGUUUCAGGAAAAGAAAACAAGAACCCAAAGAUGAUCACAUGCAUAGUUCAUAUGAUGACGUAUAUGCAUAGUUCAUAAGCUGAGUCAUGACUAGUUAGUGUGGACAAGAACUAACCAACAUUUCAGAACCCUAAACUAGCUAGCGUAGAACCUAACUUCGGUGACAAGGGUUUGUCACCCUAAGAUGACCAUAGCCAAUGAACAUGGGACACGUGUCCAAUUUAAAAGGCUUUGCUGUAAUUUAAGGACAUAAGCUGAGUCAUGACUAGCUUGUGUGGACAAGAACUAUCCAACAUUUCAGAACCCUAUACUAGCUGGCGUAGAACCCGAUUUCGGUGACAAGGGUUUGUCACCUUAAGAUGACCACAGCUAAUGAACAUGGGACACGUGUCCAAUUUAAAAGGCUUUAUUGCAAUUUAAAGACAUAACAGCGGGAUUUUAGGUAUUUUACAUGUUUGUUUAUAAUUAUUGUUGACACUUGUCCAUCUCUCAUUGGUGUUUGUCACUCAUAAAUGACUAUAGUUGGUCACCCAAGUUAUUUCCGCUGGCUGGCGUAUUCCAGAAGUGACCAUUUUUUAUUGGCCAAUAAAAUUAUCCUCUCUCUCCCUCUCCGAAUUCUUCAACAAGGAAAUACUUGUGUCAUUUGCUUAUCAUUGAAGCAGCAAGGCACUUGCAGCUAAAUCUACAAAAACCCUUUACAGAAUCCACACAGAAAGAAAGACAUGGCUGAAUCUUCCACUCUUGCAAAGUUUGAGUUAUUAGCAACCAAAACUGUGCAAGAGCAACUCACUGAAGUAGAAACACUAGUACCACAGACCUACAUUCUCAAAGAUGGAAUCCCACUUCUAGAUCCUUCUGUUGAGUUGAUGGAUAUUCCCAGUAGCAGAUCUAGGAUUUGAACAUGGGGUAAUUUUAUAUACAACCAUGCAAAAUGUAGGAACUCAUUAAUAAGUCUUCAAAAAAAAGUAGGCGUCAAUGAAAGUAAAAGAAAUUUUUAAAAAUCAAAGAAAAAUUUGAAAACUCAACAAAAUUACCCCAAAAGUUUGGAUUUUUUUAGAUUUAAGAAGGAGAAGACUAGAAAACUAGAAGAAAGAGCGAUUGAUGAAUUGAGGAACUGAAGAAUAAAGACGGAAUCACGUAUAAAAAAAAGAGAGGAGAUGCACAGCUAGUCGGGAAGUAAUUAGGUGGGCUUGACUGAACAAAAAUACAUAUAUACAAAAAAAAACAUAAUAUACCUAGGAAUUUUUUUAACUCCAAAAACUUGGUUGGACUUGAGCCCUACCAACCCUUGCUUUGGCUCCGCCCCUAGUCUCGGUCACGUGUCAAUGGGUUGAGGGCUUCUUUGGGCUACAUGUGUUCUUCUGGCUUGGUGACGUGUGCGAUGGCGUGCCAACUCGCGGCCAAGAGGUCAAAUGAGGUUUUAUUCUGAUAUGUAGUUGUUGCACUGCCCUGAUUUCUGAUCAGUCGACUGUGGGCCGAGGAAUGNNNNNNNNNNNNNNNNNNNNCUCCAAAAACUUGGUUGGACUUGAACCUUACCAACCUUUGCUUUGGCUCCGCCCUUGGAUAUUCCGGUGAUUGAUCUUGGUCUCCUUACACCUUACUCAUAAGGUGUGGAAGAACUUGACAAACUCAGAUCAGCUCUUAUUACAGGGUGUUGCUUUCAUGUAUGAUUCAAACAACUUGAGGAACUCUUAGAAGUUUGAAAAAUAGAACUAAUACCAAAUUCUGUGAAGGUUUAGGGUAUUUCCAAUACUACCAGCAGGGAAGAAGAGCAAUUGAAGCAUCUUUAAUAUGACCUCUGAUUAUGUAUCUCUUAUGGCUUGUACCAAAAGAUGAAUAAAGUUGUAUUACUGAGAAGAUGGUGGCAUGAUUCCUAAGCAAAUUUUGUUAUUUUCGUUUUCUUCUAUUUUAUCUUAAUUUGGUUCUAACUUCUAAAGGGAUCAAGAUAGAAUCGGAGAAGCAUAAAAUAAAGAAAGAUCAUUAUUGGGAGUACAGGAAACAAUGUAUACAGGACCUAUGUCUUCUUACCGAUCCAUCGCUAAUUGCUUCUUCCCGCAACGCAUCCUACUUAAAUAACGCAGUUGUGCACUAUUGCACAAGAAAAACCAAUGCAACAAUAAUCUCUUCCAUGAGGGUUUCAUCAUCGGAUUUGUUGCAAUCCAUGAAGCUUUUACAGAUAUGCUACAGCAUCCUCCAUGAAGGUUUGUUAAUUGGUUCAUGCAUUCCAUUAAGUUUUUACACAUAUACAGACCCUGCUGCUAUGGCAUCACAGAAAUGAUUAGGGAAAUCCGGAAAUGCAAUCCUAGUACUUAGCUGCAUGGUUGCUAACUUGCUGUAUUAGUGUUCAAAUCUUUAUAUCAUAAUCACUUUCUAUAAGUUCUGGUCAUCCAUCCAAGGUUUCAUAUCUGCCAAUAUGCCUAUAUUUUCCACCAUAUAUCCAUUUUUUUAGCUUGGUAUAUCAUACAGGGGUAAUAUCUUAACUUUCUUUGACUCGAGAAAUAUCAAAUAUCAUAGAUUUGGGAGGAACAUUAAGUUUUGAGUGGAAAAAUAACCCUAAAUUGGUUCUGUAAUCCCUGACUGAAACCAAUCUAAACAAAGCUCCAUUAUUGAUUCAUUGGACAACAAGAGAAAACAAAAAAGAAAAAAAAAAUAAUAGUAACUCAAUUAUUCACAUAAAAACAUACCUCAAGGAGGUUUCACUUUCAAAGAGCAACUCAAUUACCCCGUGCCUCAAUUAAAUGGAGGUUUCAGGAAAAGAAAACAAGAACCCAAAGAUGAUGACAUGCAUAGUUCAUAUGACGACGUACAUGCAUAGUUCAUAAGCUGAGUCAUGACUAGCUAGUACGGACAAGAACUAGCCAACAUUUCAGAACCCUACACUAGCUGGCGUAGAACCCGACUUCGGUGAAAAAGAUUUGUCACCUUAAGAUGACUACAACUAAUGAACAUGAACAUGGGACACGUGUCCAAUUUAAAAGGCUUUACUGCUAUUUAAGGACAUAAUUAACAUGGGGAUUUUGGGUAUUUGACAUGUUUGUUUAUCAUUAUUGUUGAUACUUGUCCAUCUCUCAUUGGUGUUUUUCACUCAUAAAUGACUAUAGCUGGUCACCCAAGUUAUUUCUAAUGGCGUAAUAUUCCAGAAGUGACCCCUUUUUAUUGGCCAAUAAAAUUAUCUUCUCUCUCCCUCUCCGAAUUCUUCAACAAAGAAAUACUUGUGUCAUUUGCUUAUCAUUGAAGCAGCAAGGCACUCGCAGCUAAAUCUACAAAAACCCUUUACAGAAUCCACACAGAAAGAAAGACUUGGCUAAAUCUUCCACUCCUGCAAAGUUUGAGUUAUUAGCAACCAAAACUGUGCAAGAGCAACUCACUGAAGUAGAAAUACUAGUACCACAGAACUACAUUCUCAAAGAUGGAAUCCCACUUCCAGAUCCUUCAAUUCUGUUGAGUUGAUGGAUAUUCCUAGUGGCAGAUCUAGGAUUGGAACAUGGGUUGGACUUCAAAUUUGGCCGAAGGGCGAAAAAAAUUUUCAUAUACAACCAUGCAAAAUGUAGGAACUUAAGUAGACAUUAAUAAGUCUUCAAAAAAAGUAAGCGCCAAUGAAAGUAGAAGAAAUUUUUAAAAAUCAAAGAAAAAUUUGAAAACUCAACAAAAUUUCCCCAAAAGUUUGAAUUUUUGAGAUUUAAGAAGGAGAAGACUAGAAAACUAAGAACUAAGGAACUGAAGAAUAAAGACAGAAUGACGUAUAAAAAAAAAAGAAGAUGCACAGCUAGUNNNNNNNNNNNNNNNNNNNNNNNNNNNNNNNNNNNNNNNNNNNNNNNNNNNNNNNNNNNNNNNNNNNNNNNNNNNNNNNNNNNNNNNNNNNNNNNNNNNNNNNNNNNNNNNNNNNNNNNNNNNNNNNNNNNNNNNNNNNNNNNNNNNNNNNNNNNNNNNNNNNNNNNNNNNNNNNNNNNNNNNNNNNNNNNNNNNNNNNNNNNNNNNNNNNNNNNNNNNNNNNNNNNNNNNNNNNNNNNNNNNNNNNNNNNNNNNNNNNNNNNNNNNNNNNNNNNNNNNNNNNNNNNNNNNNNNNNNNNNNNNNNNNNNNNNNNNNNNNNNNNNNNNNNNNNNNNNNNNNNNNNNNNNNNNNNNNNNNNNNNNNNNNNNNNNNNNNNNNNNNNNNNNNNNNNNNNNNNNNNNNNNNNNNNNNNNNNNNNNNNNNNNNNNNNNNNNNNNNNNNNNNNNNNNNNNNNNNNNNNNNNNNNNNNNNNNNNNNNNNNNNNNNNNNNNNNNNNNNNNNNNNNNNNNNNNNNNNNNNNNNNNNNNNNNNNNNNNNNNNNNNNNNNNNNNNNNNNNNNNNNNNNNNNNNNNNNNNNNNNNNNNNNNNNNNNNNNNNNNNNNNNNNNNNNNNNNNNNNNNNNNNNNNNNNNNNNNNNNNNNNNNNNNNNNNNNNNNNNNNNNNNNNNNNNNNNNNNNNNNNNNNNNNNNNNNNNNNNNNNNNNNNNNNNNNNNNNNNNNNNNNNNNNNNNNNNNNNNNNNNNNNNNNNNNNNNNNNUAUACAGACCCUGCUGCUAUGGCAUCACAGAAAUGAUUAGGGAAAUCCGGAAAUGCAAUCCUAGUACUUAGCUUCAUGGUUGCUAACUUGCUGUAUUAGUGUUCAAAUCUUUAUAUCAUAAUCACUGUCUAUAAGUUCUGGUCAUCCAUCCAAGGUUUCAUAUCUGCCAAUAUGCCUAUAUUUUCCGCCAUAUAUCCAUUUUUUUAGCUUGGUAUAUCAUACAGGGGUAAUAUCUUAACUUUCUUUGACUCGAGAUUUGGGAGGAACAUUAAGUUUUGAGUGGAAAAAAUAACCCUAAAUUGGUUCUGUAAUCCCUGACUGAAACCAAUCUAAACAAAGCUCCAUUAUUGAUUAAUUGGACAACAAGAGAAAACAAAAGAAUAAAAAUAAAAAUAAAAAUAAAAAGUAAUUCAAUUAUUCACAUAAAAACAUACCUCAAGGAGGUUUCACUUUCAAAAAGCAACACAAUUACCCCAUGCCUCAAUUACAUGGAGGUUUCAGGAAAAGAAAACAAGAACCCAAAGAUGAUCACAUGCAUAGUUCACAAGCUGGGUCAUGACUAGCUAGUGUGGACAAGAACUACUCAGAAGGUGUGGAAGAACUUGACAAACUCAGAUCAGCUCUUAUUACAGGGUGUUGCUUUCAUGUAUGAAUUCAAACAACUUGAGGAACUCUUAGAAGUUUGAAAAAUAUAACUAAUACCAAAUUCUGUGAAGGUUUAGGGUAUUUCCAAUACUACCAGCGGGAAGAAGACCAAUUGAAGCAGCUUUAAUAUGACCUCUGGUUAUGUAUCUCUUAUGGCUUGUACCAAAAGAUGAAUAAAGUUGUAUUACUGAGAAGAUGGUGGCAUGAUUCCUAAACAAAUUUUGUUAUUUUCGUUUUCUUCUAUUUUAUCUUAAUUUGGUUCUAACUUCUAAAGGGAUCAAGAUAGAAUCGGAGAAGCAUAAAAUAAAGAAAGAUCAUUAUUGGAAGUACAGGAAACAAUGUAUACAGUACCUUAUGUCUUCUUACUGAUCCAUCGCUAAUUGCUUCUUCCCGCAACACAUCCUACUUAAAUAACGCAGUUGUGCACUAUUGCACAAGAAAAACCAAUGCAACAAUAAUCUCUUUCAUGAGGGUUUCAUCAUCGGAUUUGUUGCAAUCAUGAAGCUUUUACAGAUAUGCUACAGCAUUCUCCAUGAAGGUUUGUUAAUUGGUUCAUGCAUUCCAUUAAGUUUUUACACAUAUACAGACCCUGCUGCUAUGGCAUCACAGAAAUGAUUAGGGAAAUCCGGAAAUGCAAUCCUAGUACUUAGCUUCAUGGUUGCUAACUUGCUGUAUUAGUGUUCAAAUCUUUAUAUCAUAAUCACUGUCUAUAAGUUCUGGUCAUNNNNNNNNNNNNNNNNNNNNNNNNNNNNNNNNNNNNNNNNNNNNNNNNNNNNNNNNNNNNNNNNNNNNNNNNNNNNNNNNNNNNNNNNNNNNNNNNNNNNNNNNNNNNNNNNNNNNNNNNNNNNNNNNNNNNNNNNNNNNNNNNNNNNNNNNNNNNNNNNNNNNNNNNNNNNNNNNNNNNNNNNNNNNNNNNNNNNNNNNNNNNNNNNNNNNNNNNNNNNNNNNNNNNNNNNNNNNNNNNNNNNNNNNNNNNNNNNNNNNNNNNAUACAGGGGUAAUAUCUUAACUUUCUUUGACUCGAGAAAUAUCAAAUAUCAUAGAUUUGGGAGGAACAUUAAGUUUUGAGUGGAAAAAUAACCCUAAAUUGGUUCUGUAAUCCCUGACUGAAAACAAUCUAAACAAAGCUCCAUUAUUGAUUCACUGGACAACAAGAGAAAACAAAAGAAUAAAAAAAAAAAAAUGUAACUCAAUUAUUCACAUAAAAACAUACCUCAAGGAGGUUUCACUUUCAAAAAGCAACUCAAUUACCACAUGCCUCAAUUACAUGGAGGUUUCAGGAAUAGAAAACAAGAACCCAAAGAUGAUCACAUGCAUAGUUCAUAUGAUGACGUACAUGCAUAGUUCAUAAGCUGAGUCAUGACUAGCUAGCCAACAUUUCAGAACCCUACACUAGCUGGCGUAUUCCAGAAGUGACCCUUUUUAUUGGCCUAUAAAAUUACCCUCUAUCUCCCUCUCUGAAUUCAUCAACAAGGAAAUACUUGUGUCAUUUGCUUAUCAUUGAAGCAGCAAGGCACUUGCAGCUAAAUCUACAAAAACCUUUUACAGAAUCCACACAGAAAGAAAGACAUGGCUGAAUCUUCCACUCCUGCAAAGUUUGAGUUAUUAGCAACCAAAACUGUGCAAGAGCAACUCACUGAAGUAGAAAUACUAGUACCACAGAACUACAUUCUCAAAGAUGGAAUCCCACUUCCAGAUCCUUCUGUUGAGUUGAUGGAUAUUCCAGUGAUUGAUCUUGGUCUCCUUACACCUUACUCAGAAGGUGUGGAAGAACUUGACAAACUCAGAUCAGCUCUUCUUACAGGGUGUUGCUUUCAUGUAUGAAUUCAAACAACUUGAGGAACUCUUAGAAGUUUGUAAAAUAGAACUAAUACCAAAUUCUGUGAUGGUAGACUUUUUAUGUAUAACAGUUGUGUUUGACUGUUUUCUAGGUAUAGUCCAAUCAACUGUGUUUGACUGUUUUAUUGUUUUUGUUGUGAGGCUGCUUAUUGUGUUUGACUGUUUUCUAGGUAAUAAACCAUGGAAUGACAGCUGAAUUCCUUGACGAAGUCCGUGAAAUCACAAAACAGUUUUUCGCAAUUCCAGUGGAAGAGAAGCGGAAAUAUCUGAGGGCAGUCAACGAUUUUGAAGGAUAUGGGAACGACAUGGUACUUUCAGAGCAGCAAACACUUGAUUGGACUGACAGACUAUACCUUACUGUAUAUCCACCAGACCAGCGCAAGUACAAGUUUUGGCCUGAAAAUCCCAUAUCUUUUAGGUAACAUCUAUGGUCAGAACUCAGAAUUCCCCUAUUUAUCAAAUGAUUGAUAGAUGAUUGUUGAUCCUUCGAAUGAUGUGCUCUGCAGGGAUACUCUAGACCAAUUUACCAGUAGGUCACAGGUCAUAACAGAAACUAUCCUUAAGAGCAUGGCGAGGUCAUUGAAUUUGGAGGAAGAUUGCUUUAUGGACAAGUAUGGAGAACAAGGGAAAAUGGAGGCUAGGUUUAACUUCUAUCCUCCAUGUUCAAGGCCUGAUCGCAUCCUCGGAUUCAAGCCACAUUCAGAUAGUUCAAUGAUCACCAUUCUCUUGCAAGACAAAGAAGUGGAAGGUCUUCAAUUUCUGAAAGAUGAUCAAUGGUUUAGGGCUCCCAUUGUUCCUGAGGCGCUUCUCAUUAAUGUUGGUGAUCAAAUAGAGGUAACUAAGAUUCUAAAUGUCUUUGAAUGUCAAUGUUUUGGUUGUGACUAUCUAACUGCCAUCAAAACCUGGUCUUUGUGAUUCAUAGAUAAUGACUAAUGGACUGUUCAAGAGCCCAGUGCACAAGGUAGUGGUAAAUGGAGAAAAGGAGAGGAUUUCUUUCGCUGUGUUCUGUUUCCCAGAUUCAGAGACAGAGAUUGAACCCUUUGAUUGCCUCAUCAAUGAGUCACGGCCAAGGUUGUACAAAAAGAUGAAAAACUACGGUGACACCUUUUUCGAAUACUACCAGCAGGGAAGAAGACCAAUCGAAGCAGCAAUAAUAUAACCUUCGGUAUGUAUAAGCAGCAAUAAUAUAACCUUCAGUAUAUAUCUCAUAAGUCAAGAAGACCAAUCGAAGCAGCAAUAAUAUAACCUUCAGUAUGUAUCUAAGCAGCAAUAAUAUAACCUUCAGUAUGUAUCUCAUAAGUCAAGAAGACCAAUCGAAGCAGCAAUAAUAUAACCUUCAGUAUGCAUCUCUUAUGACUUAUGAGCGUACCUGAAGUGAAUAGUUUAAAUUUGUAUUACUGAAAGUAUGGUGGCAUCAUGUUAUCUCUUAUGGCUUGUACCCCAAGAUGAAUACCUUCAAGUUGUAUUACUGAGAUGAUGGAGGCAUGAUUCCUAAGCAGAAUUUGUUAUUUCUGUUUUCUUUUAUUUUAUCUAAAUUUCGUUCUAAUUGGAUGAAGAAUUGAAACUAGAUACGGGGAAGUAUAAUAUUAAGAAAGAUCAUGAUCCAAAUGAAGCUAAUGAUGUAAAUAGACACGAAAAUUGUUAAACAGGAAAAUCUUAUUCAUAGAUGUAAACAGAGAGCGAGAAACAAUACAUACAGGAGCAUCCCUUGACAGUUGACACCAAAAUCGAGCUCCACGUCUACUACUCUAAUAAAGAUACAACAUCACCAAAUAGUCAGUACCAAAGAAGAUGGGAAAGCCAAAAACCUCCAACAGAUUAAACACAUCACGACUUUAGAUAAUGUCUUCUUACCGAUCCAUAGUCGAUCGCUUUUUCAAGCAAUGCAUUCCCCUUAAUAACUCAGUUGUCCAGUAUUGCUCAAGAACAACGAAUCCCACCAUCUCUUCCUCUAUCACUCUCUUGAACAACUUGAACCACAGCGUGCUCCAGAAGUCGCUUCAGAUAAAGCUUGUUGUGGAACCAACUUCAAGCGGCUUGCAGACUGGCAGCAAUGUCUUCACUGAUUGAUUCCCAUCAGGUGCAGUGAUCAUAAAGCUCAUCCAACUGGAACCCACAAACCAAAUGAUUGUUAAUUAAUUCAUCGAUACAAUUCAAAUAUUCCAUUUGCUCUCCAAUAAAAGAAGAUUUGUGAUCUCCUCAAAGCUGCCAUGCAACUAAGAAAACCAAUGAACAAGAGGAGAAUAGGUAAUGCAUCUGGAAAAGUCGAAGCCUCAGUUCAGUUACUUUCUAAUUCCAUACUGUUGUUAUAAGUUACAAGUUUAUAACACUUAUAAUGAUACUAGGAUUGGAGACAACUCCCCUGCUAGCCAUACUAUAAAGCAAUUCAAAAAAGACAAUUUAACAGAUGCCUUCAGGAUUUCAAAUAUUCAUUUUCCAUCACUAAUUUAUGAGCAGAUAAAAAUCAUAAAAUAAGUACAGUAUAUUCUCAAAGAAAAAGCUAACAGUCAAAAAGCAAAAUCCACUUACAAAUUAGGUGCAAAGGUGGUUUUAGUUGUUCUGAAUGUUGAGAGCCUCCAAAGAAGAUGUAGAUGCAGAUUCAUUCUCUGAUGGUGUUGGCAACAAAUGUUGAGAAUCAUCUUCAUUCUCGAAAAUCUGCUUCCGUGAAACACCAUGCAAACGCCCAAAAAGCUGUUUUUUUAAUGCUUCAAAAGCAUUGUCCAGCCUCUUUAGCUGCUCCAUUGCAUUUGCAUUGUACAUGAACAAUCCAUAAUAGAGAUCAAAGCUAUCUCCUGCUGUAUUCUCAACCAAAUUCAACAAAGUCUUGUAACCUUUUGUAUUGACCGGCGUCGACUCCAAACCCAACUUUUCCAAAAUUCUUCCCAUAGUGUGUGUGAUGAAUUGUGACCCUGCCGCAUGCUUAUCAUGCUCUUCGCAUGACAUUUGCACCAUACGACACCCUUCUUGAGCAAAAAUAUCAAGAAAUUGAUCACACCUUGACACCCUUGAUUCUUCAUUUCCAAUCCUGACCCUAUCAUACACAAAAGCAAGACCAUUCCACCCAUUUUUCCCACUUUCUGGUCCAAACAUAGGAUGUGUGCAGAGAAUAUCAAAAUAUGGAGGCAACCUUUGAAGAAACAGGCUUCUCGGAAAUUCCUUCACAGAUAGAACAUCAACAAACAAAGUACUCCGCUUCAACCUCUGAAGAGGGAGUGACAUCAGAACUUUCUCGGUGGAGAGAAUCGAUGUGCAGAGGAUUAUUACUUCUGGAUGCUCCUCACAAAAAUCAUCUGCAUCCGAGAAGUAAGAAACACCCAACAGUCGAGCAACAUCAGAGUAGUCUGACCGCGAAUAGGCUAGAACCUUGUGACCUUGGCGUACAAUGGUUUUGGCAAGGAACUGACCAAAGUUGCCAAAACCAACAAUUCCAACCCUGAGCAUCGAAUUGUCGUCUCCAGAGCUAUCCAGAACAUGUACUUUGAGGGGUCUAAACAUUACAAUGAAUACAUUUCGUUACAAUUAGUCACUGAACUAACACAUUCCACUAUCUAAUAACCUAACAAGUAUACAUGUCAUAAAGCAGAGGACGAUGCAUUGAAAUCUUACCUCCCAGCAAUUGAAGAACGCACCAAUGCAGCGCCAUUCUGAUUCACAUUCUCCUCCUGCAACGGCCUCACCUUCCCGGCAUUGCCAAACAACUGGUUCCUCACAACAUCAUGCAGCCUCCCGAAAAGCUGCGCCUUCAAAGCCUCAAAAGCCGAGUCCAGCCUCUCCAGCAUAUCCAGCGCAUUCUUGUUAUACACAAACAACCCGUAAUACAAAUCAAAGCUGUCCCCUGCAGUGUUCUCCACCAAAUCCAACAAUGUCUCAUACCCUUUGGUAUUAAUCGGCGUCGACUCCAGCCUCAGCAUCCCCAGCACCCUCCCAACAGUGUGAGUAAUAAACUGCGACCCCGCGGCAUACUUAUCAUGCUCUACACAGCUCAUUUCCACCAUCUUACACCCUUCCCUCUCGAAAAUGCUCAAGAACUUCUCACACCUCUCAGCCCUGGAGCCUUCUUCUCCGAUUCGGACCUUUUCGAACACGAAAUGCAGCUCAUUCCAGCUCUCUUUCGCGCUUUCAGGGCCGAACAUGGGGUGAGUGCAGAUCAAAUCGAAGUAGGGCGGAAGCGCAUUCAAGAACAGAGCUUUGGAGAAUUCCUUGACGGAGAGGACGUCGGCGAAGAGCGUGCUGCGGCGGAGGCGCUGGACGGGGAGGGAGGAGAGGACGGCGGCGGCGGAGAUGAUGGAGGUGCAGAGGAGGAUGACGUGGGGGUGCUGCUCGCAGAGGUCGUGGGGGUCGGGGAAGAAGGAGACGCCGAGUUUGGCGGCGGCGGCGGAGUGGUCGGAGCGGGAGUGGGCGAGGACGGUGUGGCCUUGGCGGGUUAGGGUUUUGGCGAGGAACUGGCCGAAGUUGCCGAAGCCGAUGAUGGCGAUUGUGAGGGUUUGGGAGGAGCGGAACUGGGCGGCGAGCUUGGAUUCGUAGUCGAAAACCUGGGCGGCGUCUAGGGAUUUGAUUUGGAGACCAAAACGGCGUCGUUUUGGGGUUGAAUUGGGGGUGUGAUAAUAAAGGUGGGAGCUUUGGGGGUAAAGGUUGGGGCUUUGGGGGUUGAAGAGGAGAGAGGGAGUGGGGAUGAGUUUUGGAGGGAAAGGGUGGAGAGAGAGAGGUGGCAUUGUGGAAAUUGGAGAAGAAAGAAUAAGAAGAAGAAGAGAGAAGAGGUCUGAAGAUUUCUCAGACCCAGGUGAGAUGUUGAAGAAGAAGAAAAGAGGAGGGUGUGUGUUCAAAAAUGGGGGGCUUGGAAAUUUGGGAAGCUUUUGUUUGAACUCCUAGAGCUCCAGGGUUUUAUUUUUAUUUUAUUUUCUUUUUCUGUUGGUAUGCACGUUUUGUCACGGCUAUCAUCGUGCAAGGUUAUGAGCUCGACUUAAAUACGAGACAUUUGAGUUGUUGAGAAAUAUCGUGUGUCAGGUCUCCAUAAUAAAAUUUAGAACAUAAAAAGCAAUGAAGGCGUUUAAUUGCACGAAAAUUCUUAUGCGCACCAAGAGGGAACCGAACAAUCAAUAUGUAUUAUUUUAAUUCGAUCAGCCGCGUUACAUUAUCAUGCAUAUAUACUAAUACCGUUAACAACCCAAAAAAAGUAGUUUUAAGUGUUUCCAAGUUCUAACACAGGAGAUGAGGACCCGAGGUUAAAGAAAAUGUACUGUUGUUAUAAACACUUAAUUUGAUCGGAUCAAAAAUAAAAAUGAAAGAAAGAAAUUUAAGAUGUCUAAUCUUCUUUCGAUCUUCGCAUACAAUGAUUUAAAGACUUAUACAUUAGAUCAUUAAUGAUACAAGUGCACCUUCAUACGUAAGCCGAAAUCACAAAUUCACAAUCGAAACCAAAUAGUGUAAAGAGAAGGAAAAAAGUUCCACUUACCACAAAUAUAUAAUUGAACUAGUAAACUUUUUUAUUUUGUUUCUAAUAUCAUGGGAAAUGCAACAGUCAAGAGGUUUCAUAUAUCAUCAUCAUCAUUAUCAAUUUCAAUCACCAUUCCACGUUACAUCAACCCCUAUGACAAAGGGGGAAAAUUUUCAGGCUUUUCCCGUCAAUUCUAAUCUCAGAAACUACUGAAAAGGCUAAAACAUGUCCUACAGACCAAUAAGGUGACAAGGUGAAAGGAUCGGCUGAUGGAGGUGAGCUUGAUAACGUCCGAGAAUUGGGGUGAAAUGCGGCACUUGAUGGGGAGAGGGGAGCUUGGACUACUUCUCGCUUGUCUGAUAUCUCGGGUUUUCAUUUAGAGCUUGAAAAGGAGGCCACCGUGUGUGGCGAAGAAAGGUGCAAAGACAAGGGACUCGACGGCCAUGAGCUUGAUGAGGAUGUUGAGAGAUGGGCCAGAUGUGUCCUUGAGAGGGUCUCCAACAGUGUCACCAAUGACAGCUGCUUUGUGUGGAUCUGAACCCUUGGGACCAAGACUCCUUGCGUGUUCAGAAGCUCCAGCCUAAAAUGAUUGAUAGAAAUCAGACAAAAGUGUACAGAGCAAAACUAGAAUAUGAUUGCUAACCAAAAGCAGGAAAUUUCUUACCUCAAUAUACUUCUUGGCGUUGUCCCAAGCACCACCAGUGUUGGAUGCAGAGAUUGCGAUCUGUAAAUGUAAGGGUGUUUAGUUCAAAGGUGAUCAUAUGCAAUAGCAUCAGCAAAAGCUUACAAACCAGACAGUGAUGAAGAAUUACCUGUACACCAGAGACGAGGGAUCCAGCAAGGACACCGGAGAGAGUCUCCACACCAAAAAAGAUCCCGACGAUGAGGGGCGUAAGCAUGACAAGGGCACCAGGUGGAAUCAUUUCCUUGAUGGAAGCAUCAGUAGAGAUCUUAACACACGUAGCAUAGUCAGGCUUGGCAGUACCCUCCAUGAGGCCAGGGAUGGUGUUGAAUUGCCUGCGUACUUCUUCAACCAUUUUCAGAGCAGCACUUCCCACACUCUUCAUUGUCAUGGCAGAGAACCAGUAGGGAAGCAUUGCACCCACAAUCAAACCAAUAAACACUUUUGGAGUCAACACAUCAACUGUUGCAAUUCCAGCACGGCUCACAAAGGCACCAAAGAGAGCAAGGGACACGAGAGCAGCAGAGCCAAUUGCAAAACCCUAUACAUAGAAGCACAUAAAACUCAUGAGUAACAUCCACAUUUUGAUGAUAAUUUCAAACUUGUUUUCAAUAACAAUGCACAAUUCAGAAACAGUAUAGAAGCAACUGGAAACAUGAGAGAGAAAGAGAGAGAGAGGGAGAGAGAGAGAGAGAGAGAGAGAGAGAGAGAGAGAGAGAUACUAAACCUUACCAAUAGCAGCUGUUGUUGUUUCCUGCAGCAUCAAGAGCAUCCGUUCUCUCUCUGAUUCUGUGGCUCAUGCCUGCCAUCUCAGCAAUACCUCCAGCAUUGUCACUGAUCGGACCAUAUGCAUCAAUGGCCAAUCCAGUCGCUAUGGUGCUAAGCAUUCCAAGGGCAGCUAUAGCAAUACCAUACAUAGCGGCAAAGCUAAAACUAACAUAAAUACUAAUGGCAAUGGCAAAAAUAGGAAUGAUGACUGAUUUGUAUCCCAAUGCCAGGCCAAAAAUGACAUUAGUAGCAGCUCCUGUCCGGCACGAAUCAGCAACAUCUUGCACGGGGCUGCAACAGAAUUUGAAGCAAAUGUCAGAUGAAGAGACAAUUAACACCAUUUAUAGGGAAAUGUUACUAAGUAUACAGUUACCUGUACGCAUUACUGGUAUAAUACUCUGUUACAAAUCCGAUGAUAAGUCCAGCCCACAAACCCACACACACACAUAAGAACAGUUGCCUGCAAAAUGAAUAGUGUUAAGAGACUCAACAAUAACUAAACAAUCAUGGGAUCUAACAAGUACCUGAUAUACAGGUAAAAUACAAAGACUUCCAUACGCAUCAAAAGUGAUCCCAUUAUUAUUUCACAUGGCUUAAACUAAGAUUAAAUAUAAGGCCAUAGAUAUGAAGAUUUAACAGAUUGUUGAUGACACUGAUUUAACAGAGAAAGAAGCAGAGCUUACCAGUUCUUAACAACUUUCUGGGUUCCAAAAUUAAAGAUGGUGAAGGAAGAAGGAACAGAAAUCCAUGUAACGAUCGCAACUCCAACAGUCAUCAGUACAGUGGAAAUAAUGAGUUGCCUCUUCAAUGCUGGCUCAAUUUCCUUUACAGCCUUGAUCUCAAAGAAAUCAGUUGCGAAAAGGGUGGUGAUCAGACAAACAAUGAUACCAAUGGAACUGACGAUGAGAGGAUAUAACAUUGCAGUUAACUCAUGAUUGAUCCCAAAUGAGGAAAUUGAAGCAACAACAAGAGCAGCACAUGAUGACUCAGCAUAUGAUCCAAAGAGGUCAGAUCCCAUUCCGGCAAUAUCCCCAACAUUGUCCCCAACAUUAUCAGCAAUCACCUGCACACAUGGAAUGAAUAAGUUCUGGAAGUGAAUAAAAAGCACAUUUCCAAUUUUUAGUCAAUAAUCUAACAGCAGCUAAGCCUUACAGCUGGGUUCCUUGGGUCAUCCUCAGGAAUAUUCCUUUCAACUUUGCCAACAAGGUCAGCACCAACAUCAGCAGCUUUGGUAUAGAUGCCUCCACCAACUCUGCCAAAGAGAGCCAUAGAAGAUCCGCCAAGACCAUAACCAGUUAUGGACUCAAAAAGACCACCCCAGUCCUCACCAUAGUACAUCUUGAAGACAAGGAUCACAAUGUAAAGAACCAAUAAACCAUUUGCAGCAAGGAGAAAUCCCAUAACAGCACCUGAUCUAAAUGCAACUAUAAAAGCCUUCCCAACACCUUUUCUUGCCUCCAAAGUAGUUCUGGCAUUUGCAUAAGUAGCAAUCUUCAUACCAAGGAAUCCAGAAACCACUGAAGUUAUAGCACCAAGCAAAAAGGAAACAGUGCUGAAUAAGGCAGUUGCAAGAGCAGGUUUGCACAUCUUUGUUUCGUCAUUAGCACAUUUAUGGCCACUAGUGCUAAAUCCCUCCACAGAGCCAAGGAAAACGAAUAUCAAGAUUGCAAAUGCCACCAUGAAAGCACCAACAUAUUUAUAUUCAGUGUAAAGAAAUGAUGUUGCUCCUGUAGUAUAGAAUCAUCAAGAUGUUAGUAGAACCUAAAAGAGAUCUUUUGACCAAAAAAUUAUGGUAAUUUGAAGUUGUAAACCAGUAGCUUGAUUGAAAAUUUCAAAUGAAACAACAGAGAGCAGUGCAUCAUACAGCUGAAGAAAUAACCCUACCAAAGAAGAUAAUUUCCUUCACUAAAAAAAAUGAUACAAAAAAAUGAUUUGAAAACUUGAGCUAAACGACCAAUCAAAUUUUAAUCACUGUAGAUACCCCUAUAGCACAUGUAAAAAACAAGGAAAAAAAACACUCUUUCUUUCUUCUUCAAAACCUCUUUGCUAUAUACAAAGCCAUAACAAAAGAUCGUAUCGUAAUAUGUUCCUUGUUUCUAAAACCAGAUAAGUUAUGAGACCUGAGAAGUGUGAACGAGCAAAGGCUACUACUCUAGCAAUAAGAGGCCACAGACUUCAGUGAACAAAAAUAUUCAUUCCAAUAAAUCACAAAUAAUAAUGAUUGAACACAACAAUAAUAGUCCUAUAAUCAUGUAACAGUGUAUUGAUACCCAAAAUGGCAAAAGGUCCAAAGCCUCUAGUACAAUAUUAGGAACACCCAUGUGCACUACCUUAACACUCAAUCAAAUAAAUUUAUGUACAAAAGACAAUAUGAUGAAUCAAUGUUGAUAUCCAGAUAAUGCUAUAAUACUAAGACCAUAGAAAAUAUAACAGGUGGUCCUGAAUAAAAAUUAAAAUAAAAUAAAACCAAUCGGUGGUUCCAGUAUAGGGCACCAUCUUCGAUCUGUGAACUCAAAACCAAACGAAAACGACGUCGUCGGAUCUAAGCAGACACCGAAAACUGAAAAAAGACUCGAACUUUACAGCACUCUGUUUCCACCAAAAUAUGAAAGACUCUGUUUCUGCCAAAGCUCAAAACUUUUAAGUAUAUAAAUCAAAAUUUAGACCAAUUCAACAAACCCACAAAGCUAAAAUCAGCAGCAAACAAACCAAACGACGUCGUUAGAUCUAAGCAUACAUCACAUCACUAAAAAGACUCAAAAUUUGAGGACUCUGUUUCAGUAAACUUCACAAGCUCAAAUCUUUUAGAACAGACACAAACACACGAAGGACGAAAACCAACGUUGGAUCUAAGCAGACACAAAAUUCAAAGACACAGAGUUAGAACAACAUGGACCUUCGGAGAUGGCGUUCUGGAUUUCGGCGCACUUCUGAACAACGUUGUUGUCGUUAACACCCUCUUCCUCCUCGAUAAGGUAAUCGUUGUAGCCAUUUUUUCCGGUGGAGUUAGAAUUGGAGUCUCUCGCCGGCGAGAGCUGAACACGUGACACGUAGACCCACUGGAGCAGAGAGAAGACGAUUCCGACCACCGCGCAGAACGGAAUCAAAAUCUCGGCCCCGAGAUCUGGGAGAAUACUCGCCCCCAUAGAGCUGCGCCGAACACGACCGAACCGAAAGAGAAACAAGAACAAAAGGAAGACAGAGAGUUUGAUUUGGACUGUUGUGUUUUGUGUUUGAGUGAAUACGAGGAGGUUCGUGAUGUGGGUGAUGAGGGUUUAUUUAUAAGAGAGUGACAUGAGAGUAAGAGAAAGGAUAGGAGUCAUAGGACUGACUCACCAGAUUUAUUUAUUUUUUUAGGAAAAUGGUGAAAAUUUAGAAAUUAGAGUUAAUAUUGGUAAUAUUUUGGGGUUUUAAGUAAAAAUGCCACCUCACUCAGUCAAAUCUUUUUUGCAUUAUCUUGUUUUCCAUUUCAAGAAAAUCAUGCCUAGUCCUUAGAACAAAUCUAUUGAGAUCCUAAAUAUGUUCCUAACGCGUAUAGACACCGUGGCGAAUAUAAGAAGGAAGUUUAUAUAAUCGAUUUUGUACGUAUGAUACGGAAGUUAAAGCAUUUAGCAUACCUAUAUGUCGUUUUAAAAAUAUUUUUUAUUUUUUUACAUUGGAGAUGAUUGAGCAAGUUUUCUAGUUUGAUUCUAACUCAAUCUCUUGAUCUCUCACUACUUGUAUUAAAAGAAUAUAUAUUGUCUAACAACUAUUGUGUUUGAUUUUCUAUAUGUAUAUUACAAGUAAAUUUCAAAGUUUUUAAUACAUUGUUUGUGUCAUACCAUACAAACAUGUAAGCAUUUGCUUUAUAAUCAAGUUAUAUUGAACAAGAGAAACAUAUCUUAUCGAUUAUUGUAUCUACAUUGUUUGUAUACAAUAAGCUCUAAGAUAUUAUGGUGACAAUGCUCUAAGCAUUUGGCUUCGAUUAGAGCUUAUUUAGUGACAGAUCAAUCCACCUAAAAACCACGUAACAGGCUGGCUUCAAUUAAUGUCAUUUAGUGGACUGAUCAAAUUUGGCUUAGCAUGGACACCAUAAUAUCUUAGAGCAUCUCCCACCAUGCUAAGCCAAAUUUGAACAGUCCACCUUCGAUUAAAAUUGACUUCGAUUAGAGCUUAUUUAGUGACAUAUCAGUCCACCUAAAAAACACAUAAUAUUUAUUACUCACAAAUUCAAAAUUCUUUAUAUGAUGGCUUACUUAUUGACAUACCUAAACACCCACAUUUUCUUGAUGUAUGGCAAUUAACAUUAAUCCUAAUCUAAUGACCAAAUUAAUUGUUCAAAAGAAGAUGACCAAAUUAAAGGAAUUUGUGAGAUUUGUCACAAGAUUUGACACCAUACCUUUCCCUAGGGCCUAGGCCAAGGAAGUUGCUAAUGGCGACAACACAACAAUGCCGAAAACGACAUCUCCAGAACAAAGCUGACAUGUGUCGUUGUCUGUGUAGCUUGAUGUGGUAAAAUGACCGAUUUAGCCUUUCUUUAAAUGUGAAGAAGAUGAAGAGGAACUUAUUCUAUCUAGAUAGAGGAUAACUGAGCAAAGAGAACGUAUUCGAGACGCAUUUAUUUCGUGCCCCCAUUGUCUUUUCCUUCUUUACACUUCUAUUUUAUCCUUCUCCUUUUUUUUUUUUUUCUUUUUUUCUUUUUUGUGAUUCGAAUUUUUGUUUAUUUUUAGCUAACUUGUGAGAUUCGUGUUUGAUAAAAUAUCACUAUCAGUUUAUCUAUGUCAUUCAUGAUUUCAUAAUCCAAUGAAUUAUUGGCCCACAAUUGAUGUGAGGAGCAGGUCCAUGAAGCACAAUGGGCUUUGCUAUGAUGGAGACCUUGAGAAUGCUAUGUUUUGAUUACAUUGUGAAGUAUUGUUAACGUAAUCGGUAUGUUGAUAUGUUGAGUCCCUUAUGAAGAUUAAUGUAGUUGUGUUUUUGCUUGCAAGUAUAAUGUUGUCAUUGUGAGGUGUAAUGUGGGCAUCCAAAAGGGCAGUUCAUAAAUGAUUUUUGAUCUUGUGAUGAAAUUGUAACUUAGCUAAUUGUGGUUCUUUGUCAUUGAAUGCAUGAGACUAUAUAUAGUUGGUUGGUGCAGGUUGGACCGUGCCAUUAUAUGAGGCCAAUAGUUAGCAUAGGGCCAAAAUUCAGCCCAUACCCUUAAACCAAAAUUUAGGACCAAAUCCACCUAGUAUUUUUGGCCGGAUAGAAGGAGAAAGUAGAUUACAAAUUGUUUUCAAUUGUGAAAAGCAGAGGAAUAUGUUAGGCUGAACUACACCGGAUCACACCAUUGAAACUCUGGUUAGCAACUUAAACACCCUUAAUGCUUUUGUAUCGAUUCAUUGCCUUUAUCAACGUACGCAAAGCAAAAAUUUAUUCAGUUCUCACGAAAAAAUAACAUAUAACGUUUGAGUGUAUUAGUGCAUGAUACAACUUUUACAUUUCUCAAUUACAUCGUAUCAUCGUAGUUCUACAUUCUUACGACCAAGUAUUAAAGCUCUUCAUAAGCUCAAAGAUUGGUCUGCGACAUAUUAAUGUAUCGAUAUGUAAGUAUACUGAAUGAAAAAACUAGUAAUUAAUCGGGAUGAAGAUAAAAGGUUCUGGAAACAUAGAAAUGAUGACUGUCCAUAUUUCCUUCCUCCCUAUAAAUCUCGAGCACGUGUUGGCUUCCUCUGUUCACCAAAACAUGACCAAAACGACACACAUACACACACUGCUAUCUUCCUCUCUUCAUGGUUUUGCUUUGAUUUUGCUACAUUUUGGGGACCGUGCGCUCCGCAAAAGCAACAGUGUCCGCUGAGACCGCAAAGCCACAGAUCCAACUAGAAUCAGAUUUUCAUCAACAACACUUAUGGGGAAGAAGAGGCCACGCUCUGAUGAUGAUCACACCCCACCCUUUUCUCCUCCUCCUCCUCCUUCGGGUAACACCCUCAAUUCUCUCGUUCUUUUCUUUACGUUUUCCUUUGUGUGUUGACAAUGCUCUAAAAACGAAGAACCCAGAUGAAAAGGAAGCAACUUUUUGUUGAAACAUUAGGUAAAGCUUGUUUCUUUGAUAUGGCAUUCACUCAAUUAUGUGUGCUGUGUCUUUGUUUUGUGGUUCUUGCUCAAAUUGAGCCCAGUUUGGUUUCUUGAGAGGUGAAUGGUGUUGGUUUCUUGAUCAAGUUUUGAUCUUUCUUGAUGUUGUGUGAUUGGUGUGGUGCUGUUUCUUUGGUUUCUUGGGUACUAGGCUCAUUUGGGUUGAUGGGUUUUCUUCUUUUUAGGAUUUGAGUAUGGUUGUGUUUCUAGUUCAUCAAUUACUGAAGUAAUGGGGUUCUGUAUCUGUUGCCCUGUUGGAUAUUGGGACUACAAUUACAAGUUUGCUUUUGGUGUGAAAUGAUCCGGCUCCUUAAACCCUCCAUUUGGUGAAGGUUCAGAAUGUCUUGCUCAAUUUUGAUAUUAUGUUCUGUCUGUAUGUAACGAUUUUGAUUAGGCCAAAACCUCCAAUGGUUGAGGUUUAUUCAAUUCUAAAGUGUUUUCAGAUAUUGCAUUCAUGUCUGGUGUAAGAAUUGACUGAUGUUUCAGAUUAUGAGUUGAUACUCACUUUAAGAUGAAUGGCAUUUAUGCCAGUAAGUGAAAUUCUAAUAAUCAGGUUUUUCUUUGGGGUAUUGCAGACAUCAUUUCAUGUUCUUCAGGAAUGGAAUUAGUGUCGGAAGAGGUUAGCAAUCUUUUCCUUUCUUAUUCAUAUAGUCAUUUGGUUCCUGCUACGGAGUUGUUAUUGUGGUACUUUUGUAUGCUACAUUAUAGAUAAUCUCUCAUCUAUAAUGAUCCGAUUGAUAUUGUUUAGUAGAAAUUGCUGUCAGUGUUUUCCUAAUUCAUACUGGGAGAGAAAUAGUUAUUAUUACUUUUUUAAUUCUACUUGUUCAGAAACAAUUGCACCCGGUUGAUUCUGGUAAACAUCUAAGGCCUCUGUCUUCUGUACUGGAUACUACCGGUACUUCUUUGAAGCUACUACAUGCCCACCCUUCUGCUGCACAACAUCAUCAGAGCCUUGGCCGAUCAACGUUUUUUAAACGUUCACGUCAUUACUAUGCCCAUCAAUACUCUCGGCGUAACUCGGGCCAUGUUGCCACUGCAUCAACUUCUCGUGGAAAAGGUACUCCUUCACGUGAAGAAAAGCUCUCUUAUAAGUUGGCUACUCAAUGCAGCGCUGACUCUGGACGUCACUCAGGUCUCUUUUCUGCUGUCCUCCUUUUGAAAAUCUUCCUUUCUUCAGUAGCAUAACAUCUACAAUUUGGUCACAGUUUGCUUGCAUUAAUUUUUCUUUUAAUUUUUUUCCCAGAAAUCAAGGAAAAACCCUUUUUCCGGCCGGCCAGAAUUAGGUCCAGUUACUUGGUAAUGGAUGCUGCCUCAGCUGAUCCAAUGAAGAUGUUAUGUGGGAUUUGUCAAAAGCCAUUGAGGCGCAAACCUUUAUUCCUUGGGACCACGCUGUCUUCUACUGAAGUCUCUGUUGUUGCAGUGUUAGUUUGCGGCCAUGUUUACCAUGCUGAUUGUUUGGAGCAGAAAACAAGUUUUGAAGAAAGACGUGACCCUCCCUGUCCUUUGUGUGUUGGGUUGUUGCCCAAGAUCGAGGAUUUAAGAGAGCAGGUUUAGAGAAGUUGGUACUUGGAAUUUGCAAGGAUCCCUCAGGCGGAAAUGUGUUUCUUGAGAGUUCAUGUCAUCCUUGUAAACUCUCUGGCAAGUUAGCAACUUUUAUCUGCGGCCAUGUUGUCGUGCUGACUGUGUGAGCUGUGAGCAUGUUACAAGUUUCAGAGAUAUUUUUGUGCCCUGCCUGCUCAUUGUUGUGUGCUCCGAAAGUUUACAGAGGACAGUAGUAUUUUGUAAAGAUGUUAAUUUUGCACCAUUAAUAGCUCGAUACUGAUUGUCUAGAAUCUAGAUUAGAAGAUCCACAGCUAGAUGGAAACAUUGGAACUGUUAAUGCAGGUUGUAUUCAGUACUUACUGACUGUUAGAAAUUCCUAGCAGAUUAGAGGAAGCGACUUUUUUGCACUAUUCCAAGUAACAAAAUCUAGCUCAUAUCAAUUCCUGGUUGCCUAUGAAUAUUAGAAUUUCAAUUUUCAUAUUCACAUGUUCAUCGAAUGUACUGUAACCUCUUUCCUGCAAGUCUGUAACAGGUGUGUGCAUACAGUAUUGCGAUUACACAUUUCAUGAAGAAAUUCAAACGCUAUAAAUUGUUUUAAGUUUUAACUACUCAAAAACAAAUAAUUAUCUGUAGUCAAACCAUAAACCUAAUAUAUCUGUACAUGGACUCGCAAGAAAAUUGAGCCUCAGAAGAUGAAGAAAGUACACCAGUUCUCAAGUAACUUGCAAAUGGAAACCUAAGAGCCUGCCUUGCAUGUAGUUUUAUUAUGUCCCGUUUCCUUGCAGUUUGAGCAAAACACUUCCCUUUUGGCCACACCUUUUGUUUUCUUCUGGUUUUCCUUAUCAUGGCUUUGUGGUCUGGAGAUGGAAGGAGGAAGUACAUUCUCAGCUUCCGAUUCAAUUUUAUCGCCAUCCAAAGGCUUAAAAGGCACCGCCACAGGGGUUAUGGAUUCCGAAUAAGUUGUAUGAUAGUUGUCAACUUUAUAGUAUCUUGAACAAAAAUCAUACGCAUUCCUACCUUUGCAGUUGAAAACAGCAAUAGCGUGGCAGCAAGGUAGCCCAGUUGAUUUCCAAUCCAGACAACUACACUCCCUUUUGUUGAGAUCCACAACAUUGAUGGAAUCAUUGUGAACCUCAAAAAGAGUAUCAGUUGAAAAUAAUACUUUAAGGCGACUUGCUUGUAGAAUCUUUUCUUGCAGUUUUUCCUCCUUGGAUGGAGUAAGCUGUGUAGACCAAGUGCUUGAAUCAGUUCGACGAGUGUUUAACAAUUCCAUCAGCUUAGAGCUUAACACUUCUAUCUUCCGUAUAAUGGGCAAUGCUCGCAUUUCCUCUAUCCAGUUGGCGUAUGUCUCUGCAAUGUCGACAGUAAUAUGAUUGUAGUGCUCACCUCUGAAAAAUACAUUUGUCCAACAUUCUUGUUCAAUCUGGACGACCCAGUCAUAACCUUGUGAUGAAACCUGUUUAAUUUGAUCCAUAAAAUACUUAAAACCAUCAAGUCGAAGUGACUGGGCGGCAGCCAUGAAACAAGUUAGCAAAGAACCCUUCCCAUCUUUAUGAAAUGGCGGCCUUAAGUUUUUCUUGAAGCUUCUUAGAAGGUGGUGCAUAGAGUAGCCAUGCUGAGCAUUCUCAAAUACCUCAGUCACUAAUUUCUUCAGCCCUUUCUCUCUAUCAGAGACAAUAGUUAAGGACUGUGUGGUCGAAACAGAUGAUCUUAAUUGCUCCAGAAACCAACGCCAGUUAUCAUCAUUCUCAGCGUCUACUAUUGCAAAUGCAACCGGGAAUGCACCAUCAUCCCCAUCCAAAGCAGUAGCUGCAAUAAAUGUCUCAUGGAAUUUUGAUCUUAAAGGCAUAGAAUCAAGAAAAAGAAUAGGUCGGCAACCAUUCUGAAAACCAUGUCUUGAUGCAUGAAAGCAUUCAAAGAGACGCUGAAAUCUCUUAUCCUCACCAGUGAAAAGCCUAAUAUUACUACCAGGAUUUGCCUCUGCCAUUUUCUCACAAAACCAAGGUAACUGGUUAUAAGCUUCUUUAUAAGAACCCAUAAGUUGUUCCCUUGCAUCUUCAAUUCCACGCCGUACUUGAGUAGAGUUCACCGUAAUUCCAAAAUCCUGAAGAAUGCUACUGACAAUUUCUUUCGGCUUCAGAUGUGGAUUAUCAGUUAAUCUGUCUUUAAUGAUACUAACUAACCAAUUUUUUUUCGGAUGAUAAAACUUCCAUGUCUCCCUUUCACAUGUAUGCCUUUUCUCCAUCUUCUUUACCACAAACUUUUCCAAAGAUGAGUCCCAGGAUGCUUGAAUUCUCCAAGAACAGGCUUCAGCUAUACAUAUGCAACUUGCACGGUUAGUGUCGUUUUUCUUGAACUUAUACAUAAAACGAUGAGCAAUGGCAUAUUUUUGCAGUACAUCGCGAAAUUCAUUAACACUUGGGAACUCAUGUCCAACUCCAGUGAUACCAUCUUUCCACAAUGUGACCAACUCUUCAGACAGAACAUCAUUUGACGGGCGUAGAAUGUCCUGAUUAUGGUCAAUGCUAUUACACGGCACAAUCUCCUCUUCCUGAUCCUCAUUAUCAGUUUCUGGAGCAGUUUUAAAGUUGAGAGUAUUCUUCUUCCUGGACACAGAAUUUCUUUCAUCCCCAAUAUCCUCAUUGAUAGAAACAAUGGUAGGGCCAUCUGGACCAAUUUUCCAUGCAGCAGUGCGCCUUCGUUUCUUAACGGAAUCAGCAGGGGUGCAGUCCAUAUCAAUUAUGUCCAAGCUGUGGACACUUGCAUCAGCAGCAACAGAAAUGGAACCAUUUGGAGUGGAACUAAUAACACCAGCAGGGGUAGAGUCCACACCAUAUAUGUCCAAGCUGUAGAUGCUUGCAUCAGCAGCAAGAGAAAUGGAACCGGUUGGAAUUGAGGUAGUAGCAUCUGCAUGAUCAGUAAAGGCAGGGGAAAUGUGAGCAGUAUGAGUCAAUCCACUUGGGCUUUGAGUCCGUUCUUUGUCAGAUACAACAGAUCCUGCUUGUUGUGGAAUAGGACGAAGGGAAGGGACAUCUGGAGUAAUAUUUGAAGCAGCAGGAACAACUGUGGUAUUAACAUUACUUGGUGCAAUUGGUGAAUUAGCUGCAACAGGACGAUUAGCAUCAGCGUGAAAAACAACAGCUGAAGUACUGGAGGCAGCAAUAGGAAUCACAGAGUCUGCCACUUUUAACCCACAUGCCCUGCAAACCAUUAAGUCAUGCUAUCAAUGCAAGCAAAUUUUUGCAACAUGCCACAAUUACCAGUCGAUGUUCAUCAUCAUACAGCAUAGAGGGCAUUGCCAUCACUUUUUUCUAAAGAAAUUGUGAUAUCAACGUCCCUCUUUAAUCAAACUGGUUUAGCAGUAAAUUUCAGUAAUUUAGAUGCAGGUAAACAAAUAACAAAGACGAUACCUUUUUAGUGUGUUUAAGGCUUCAUCACCAUCGAAGCCAGCUUUUCCUAUGACAAAAACAUCACCAGUUACUGCAUUACCAUGGAACUCAUACAUCCUUUUCAGGUCCCUAUCACUGGAUAACGUGAUGAGAGUUCGCCUAUUUCCUGGUAGAAAAUACUUGAUGGACAAAGAUUUAUACUCUAAAUUGCAUAUUUCAGCUAACUUCAACUUGAGAUCAUCAAAUAAGGUUUCAUGAUUGAUAUCUACAGCAUGCGCAUCCCCUCCAGUAUAGCACAUGGUUCCAUCAUCCUUCUUGACAAAUUCGCCACCCCACUGGCAGAUUAAGAUAAGUUUUGCCCUCACCAUCACACUGAACUCCAACCAUAUAAACAAAAGAAUGAGAAACUCAGAUAAAAAUAUAUGACAUUCAUAAUUCAGUUUUCAAAACAAUACAAGAUUACUACAAUCUAAUAACCAUAUGUAUGUACUAAGGCCAUGUUUGCAAAUGCCAGUUAAUUCUGUAAUCUAACAAUGCAGUCAUUGACCAAAUAAGCUAAAAGCAACUACAAUGCUAAUAUAUAUACAUAGAUAUGAACACAAUUUUAUUACAUACACAAAGCAAAACCCAGUUCAAAACCUUAAUGGGAGCACACACUAGAGACCUGUCACAAUUCAGAACAUAAUUCUAGCACAUGGGUUAUCAUCCUUGAUCAACCUUACAUACCAAAUGGAGACAUUCAAUGUAUUUCAUGGUGGGUCAACCCAAACAAAGUCAACAAUCCAAACCCAGAUGAUCAUCAAAUGCACAAUUCAACAAAGCAAGCACCUUUUUCCCAGAUAGACAUGAAUAUCAAAAGUCCGAGACCCUGACUUUGAUUAGUACACUAUUUACUGAUUUGACUAGUUACAUGAAAUUGAAUUGUUACCAGCAAAGAAUUGAACUUUUUGGGUUUAGGGAGAGAGAAGAAAGGGUUUACCUGCAGAGGGGGUGGUGCAAGGUGUGAUACUGCAAUGGAUGGAAACCCUAGAAUUUGGGGCCUUCUGGAAAUAAGGAUAAAAGAGGAGGAGGAUGCAAAGGGUCGUUUAGACACGAAAGUUAUAAAAACGGGGCUGAAAAGGAAAGACUGUUUUGGGCCACAAUUAGGUCUGGGCUUCGAUUACUUAAGUCACUGAAUUUUUUUUUGUUUUGUUUUUGUUUGCGUUAAGUCUCGUUCACUAAAGUGAUUCGAGAGCAUUUUCAAUAUACAUCAUGUAUCUUCACAUACAUACAUGAAUGAUCAAGAUUAGAGGAAAUAAUAUAAAAAUAUAGUGAUCAAACAUAUGAAUUAUUAUGAACGGUUUAGAUUGCGUCGUGUAUACAAGAAGUUCCUAAGUGAUACAUGUCAAAGUUCAAAGUUCCAAUGGGAGACAAGGUAAGAGACAUGGAACUGAGAUCAUCAUGUCAUGGCUCUCGUCUCAUAUUGCCUUAAGAGGAGAUAUGAUAUCGAACAUUUAAUCAUAAUCUUAUUGUUAGGAUUUUCUCUGAUUUAAAUAUUGUGUUGCUAUGUGAAGUGAGACCCAUACAAGUGCAAAAGAAUAUGGUCACCAUAUUAAGAAGAGGAUUAUAAGUUUGAUUCGGUAUUAAAGAGAUGAUGUCAAAAUUUCUUUCUUAACUGCUUUGGUUUAAUUCUUCUUUUGUGCACACCAGUCAGGGGUGCCAAUGAAGACGUCGUAGUGUCAGCACUCAGCGGGUUGGGAAGUUGAAUUGAGUCCUAGACUUCGAACUCGGGUACACAACAAGCCUAAUCAGCCCGUCCACAGUUUGUUUUAUUUGCUCAAGUAGGGAUGUCAAUUUCUUAAAUUGAAGAAGAAAAUUAGCUAGGAAUGGCACUUUGUGUCUGUAUUUGGAUAAUCUAUGUGACUAUAUAUGGGUAAAAUUUGCAAGAUUGAAGAUUACACUUUUCAUUUGACACAAAAAAAAAAAAAAAAAAAUAGUUACAUGUACGUGUUCGAGUACUCAUCCCUUAGAUCAUAUUGAAAACUAUAUUGAGUAGUAAGAAUUGGUGCACACAACAUCCUAAGAGUUUUUUUUUUUUAUUAAACACAACAUCCUAAGAGUUGCUCUCCUCUCAUCCCCUGUGUUUGGAUGACCCCUGAAAUCCCUAUGAUGAGUAUAUAGUCAAGCUAAGCAAAUCAAAUUCCCCUUGUGUCAACUUCUCCGGUGUCAGCUCCGCAUGUAUUUGCUCCUCUUGUGACACCUUUGAUGUCAGCUAAUGUAGUUGUUGCUCCUCUUGUGUUGAAUGCUAAUUCAUAGUGAGAAAUACCCUUUUUCCUAUUAUGAGUGAAAGGGGAUAUCAUUUUCCCCCGUUUUCAUCCAUGUAAAUGCUGAGAUCCACAUCAUUCUCAUCCUUACAAGCCCUUGACGAACUAUCGUGGAUGAGAAUGACGUGGAUCUCGGCAUUUAGAGUGAUGACUAGGAUAUGGACUGGAUAUUGGCAAUGCCAGCAGCUAAUGCCAUGUAUCACCACAAUGCCAUUGUCCAAGAUGGAAUUAACCUGGACCUCUCACUCAGAUGAUGUCCUUUGCUGAGAAGAAAACAAUAACUAAUCACAUCGUUAUGAAGAAAACAAUAAUUAAUCAAAUGAGGUUAUAUAACUCUAAGCCGUAUUUCUAGUAUAUAGAUCCGAUGAAUGUAAAUUAUACUUAUUACUAAUCUCUCUAACCACCCGCUCAUCUUCCUCUUCAUUGAGACACAUGUACGCUGGUUUCUGACCGUUUCUCCAUCUAUAUCAGUUUAUAGAGAACCCAAGAUGUUGUGCACAUAUCAGAAAACUAAUGAGGUUUUUUUUUAUAGGCGAACAUGAAGAUUCGAGAACGAGUGGUUUUGUUAAAACAACGAGCGUACCGUCGGUUUUACAAAAACAACGGGUAUUUGAAUUCAAACACAUUAAAAAUGAAUUAUAUUCAGUAAGUUUUAAUUUUUAUAACAUUUGUGUGUUUGUGUGAAUGAGUAUAAGAAAUUAAAAAUUAACUAUUGACAGCCAUACCUGGCUGGUUCACAUGUUUGUUGUUUCCUUGGUCUUAGCUGAUUGCUUCCAUCCAAUAACAACACCGCAUGUACCCCUGCAACCCCACAGUAAAUAAAACAAACAACUUUGCACCUUGACCUUACAUAGGAAAACAUUUCCGUCUCAACUAUAAUAGAAAGAAGCGACUAGUUUUGAUUCCAUUAGCUUUAUACAUGUUUUUCGUGAGGCCAAUUUUAUGGCUGAUGUUAUUGCUCAUCUUGGUCAUUCUACUGGUUCUAAUUUGUGUUGGACUGAUAUGAUUCCUAAUGAGGCUUUUAGAGCCUUGCUAUUUGAUAUUGUAAACUUUGGAUGCCCUAGAGGCUUUGUUCUUUAAAGUUUGUUUCUUCUUCAAAAAAAACUAUAGCAGAAAGAAGACAUGUUACAUUUUUGGUGUUUACAAUUUAUGGUACUUGCAUGAUCCGAUCUGAUAAGCCUGUUACAUUCUUGUGAGAAAAUCUCGUAAAUCAAUUGAUGUUGACAUGUGCCCGUCUAGCUCAGUUGGUAGAGCGCAAGGCUCUUAACCUUGUGGUCGUGGGUUCGAGCCCCACGGUGGGCGUUAUAUUUUUUUUCACUAUUUUUCAUCCUCUCUCUAAUACACUGAAAUUCCUUUGUUUUUGGGAAAAGAUAAUUUAAAUACACUUUAUUUUUAAUUUUUUUGAAUCGACACUGAGAUUCCUUUGCUCUUUGGGACUCUUCUUGUAUAUGCUAAUUUGGAAAUCAUAAUUCCUGAGUAACAUCAGUGAAUUACCUUAUCCCUGCUUGGCUGCUUCCACUUGGAAACUCAAAACCUAUAUCUUCCAUAAUCUCAAUAAAAUCUCCUAGCUCUACCAGGAUUCAUUUUCUAGGAAUUUAAAUGCAUAUGCUAAGUAAUCAGUGCAAAAUUGAAUCGGUCUCUCAAAGUUUAAUCAAAGCAAUACAAUUCUAUAUAUAUGUGGCUGGUCUCUGAAACGUGGACCAUUCUCUCUUACAUUGAAAUGGGUCUUGACGACAAAGUGGACAUGGUUUUGGUAGCCACAGAUCAAUGCAUUCACGGUGAUAAGUAUGCUUACACUUGUGAAGCUCUGCGCACUCAUGACCUUCCUCAAACUCCCUCAGGCAAAUACAGCAGUCACCAUCCAUCUGGCUACUUUUUAUUUCAUAAAACAUGCUCGGAUCAUCCGGCUCUGGUGAAACCCCGCCGCUACAGACGCCGGUUUCUAUGUCUUGCCACUCUUGCGGGCUUUGAUGAUCCGUUCGACGACGACGUCCUCUCAGCGGAAGUCGGGUUGAAAAAAGUGGCGAAAUUUUUUCAAACAAAAAAUCCAAGAGGCUGUGCCUAACGGUACUUGAGCAAAGCAAGAACAACAAAAUAAAAAAAGCCAUAAAGAACCAAAAACUACUGCAGUGGUUAUAUGCUGAUCACUAGGUUGCCCAUAAUAAGCAGGUGCUGGAGGAGUGGACGACAUUCGGACUGGCUUUACUAUGGAAUUUAUAAGAACAAGGAUUACAGAAGCUGAGGGAUGCGUAAGAAAGAAAUAGCUUCUGAGUUUUGAACUUUUGAAGUUGUAGUCAGAGUACCUCCCUUAUAUACCGAGCUGUGCAUGCUGUAUUCCCAAUUGGAGUGGGAUAUAAUAUUCCUACCAGGGAUUAGGAUUAGAAAACUGUGUUUUUAUCUCUUUGAUAUUUUGGGCGCAGCAUCCCAAUGGCACUAUACUUAAUCGAAGAUUAAACCACAGAAAAAUCAGAUUCGCAAAUGCUUUAACUGCAAAAGCUAAACCCAAAAAUACAUCUUUCAUCGAUGAAUGCCAAAUGCAAAUCAUACAUUCAUACAAAUUUCUUGUAAAUCUAGUUCUUCUCCGUCGUGCAACAAGUUACUGUACCCCAGACUUGAGGGAAACAAAGGGAACCAAAAAACACUCAUAAGAUGGUUUUAUUUAUCUCACUAUUGUGGAUCGAUACUGACACCAAUAGACAAGCGAAGAAUACAAAAGUGUGCGUAUUUAGUAUUUUACCAACCAAUUAAGAAAACACAAUAGCUUGUGAUUAAAACUCCUUGGUGAUCGAGUUUGUUCUCAAACAGAAAAAAGAAAAUCAUCUUGGUAUAAAUCCUUAGAUGCAACUAACAUUUUACAUACGAAUACUUCACCAUGGAUUAGGAAAAAUCCACAAGAGGGAAUCCCUAGUAAAUACAUUUUUGCUAAACGACUUCACUCUUCUCCUGCUUUCUACUUCUGCUCUCUCAAGAUUGUAUGUUCCAUACUUUCCAAAUUCUCCUGACGUUAUUCCAAAGUAGAUGGAGUUCUUUUCACAUCCUAAGAAACAUGGGUUCGGCAAUGACUUUACUUGUUCAUAAGACAAGAAUAAACAUUGAUAGCCUAAACUCUGCAAAUUUUCCCAUUUGCCUUCUGCUAAACUUUUCCACAAAAAAGUGUAAAUUGAAGGACCAACUUUCAUCCUUGAAUUUACUUUGUUUCAGACGUAAGAUCUCACCCGAUAAUGACUCCAUCAAAUAGGUACCACUACCAGAUCUGCGGGCAGCAGGGUCUUCACUCUUCAAUAGGGCUACGUUGUAAAGGUGUAAAGGUGGGUAUUCCUUAAAGUCCCAAACCUUUGUAUGACCCCUCCAUGUCACUGCAACUAAAUGGUCAUCAUGAAACACAAGAUGUUUUUGAUAAAAAUGCUUACCAUCCUCUAACCUUUUCCAGGACAUGUCUUCGUCUCCAUGUUUAUUGAAUGCUAGUGUAUCGCAACCAUAUUUCACUACCAUGCACAAUAAAGUUCUUGUUGCAAGACGGAUUGGACGAAAUAACAGCUUUAGAAACGCCAUCUCCAUGUAUGUUGUCAGGAAGGGUCUGAGUGCCUGGGAUUGGAAUGCGCGCCGGCUCUUGUAAUCGGGUUAAAGACAUGAGCUUUUAAUUUUGAUUCUUUUGAAUCAUCGUCUUCAUAAAACAUGGCAAUCCAUCCAUAUGAUGAACCAACAAUUUUGGCAUUUUUGUCAAAGAAAUCAUAGAUGUUCCUAAUUCUGUGCUUCUUCUACCCAAUGGGAUCAAAUAAGGAGUGUUUUUGUCCGUGAAGAAAGAGACAUAUUGGAGUCCGAGGCAACGGAACGGAAGAGCUACAUGAUUUCGCAGCGGCUCUCCAAGAUUGGCAAACGGAUUUAAAAUCUAGGACGUGUCUAAAGCCAAGGAUGUCAAAUUCACAAGGUAUAAGCUUUUUUAAGAUUGACUCUAGAAGCUCAAUAGGAAGCUCAGACCCUCAUGGCUGCGUGAACUUCACGAGCACCGUCGUCGACAUCAUCUUCGAUCUUUUUUCUUCUUUUUCCUCCGGCAAGGUCGACAUCCAACGUUGUUCUUUGUCUGUUUCUUUCUUUGUUCAUCACGUCGUCAAUCACUAUAUAUCUGGUACGUAGGGGAAAACACAGAAGAGGAGAGCGACUGUGCAUGGAGCAAAGCUUAGUUGUGUCUUUUGGAUUAGGGUUUAUAAAACGAGGUGGGCUGUGCGAAGUCUACCUAUACCGGGCCCAGGCGGGUUGAGGGGCCCACCGUUUAAAAAGGACAAAAAAAAAAAAAAAACUAGGAUCGGCCUAGUUUAAUAUUGAGUUUUGAGGAUUAAAAUCACUUAUAAUCACCAUUUUAGAUAGAUUUUCUGUUUGGUAAAAUUUUAAAACGUGUUUAUCUAUAACUUUUUAGUUUAAAUAACUACGAUUUUAGAAAGCAAGUUGAGAGUUGCUUAUUUAAAACUGAGUUUUUAAAAAAUUGAGUUUUUAAACCACAAUACCAAACUAAAUCAUUACUCGCCCGUCGUGGUUGUUCUGUAGCAUUAGGGUGUUCCUUCCCUUCAAUGCUUCAUUACAGGGCCGGCCGGCCGGCCCUGUGGGGUGCUAAUUGAGGCAGCCACCUCAGGCCACCUACUAAAUUAACACAAGAGAACACAAAAACAACUCCAAUGAAACAUAAUGUAGUCAUUUAGACAUAUAUAGAGUGGUAACUACACCAAGGGAAUAAGUAUGAAUCAAAAUUGUCAUAAUACUCUCUGCAUUUUACCUCAAAGAAUCAAGUACUGUUUUGACUCUUUGCAGAAGGAACCAGCUAGGAAGCAUCAUAUUUCAUCAUUAUCAUCUUCUUCCAUUUGCUUCUAGAGGAUCUUCUGAACCAGUCAUCAGAAACUACUUGUUUUGGGCUCAAGCAAAAACUGGAUAGUCCUUUCUGAGAUACGGUGAAAGUCCUUUUAACGUCAAGCAGAACAUGUUUGGACACCAGUAAACCUCAUCUGAUGUGAACAGUGAAAAUACAUAGAAUUUGCUCUUGCUGGGUAUUUUCCAGAAUGAAAUUUCAUGACAUUUAUUAAUCUUUUUUAUGAAAGAAAAACACAGAAUUAUUUGGUUGUGGCCCAUUUACAAGAUCAAACGUGUUGUCAACUGCAUGUGACUUUCAUACUUCAACCUCUCUCUAUUUUAUUCUUCUCUCCAGGAAGACCAAGAAUUAUUGACCUGAGAGAAAACAUUUGGAAGACUAGGUAAAUUAAAUAGAUUUUUGUUGCCACACACAAACAUGGGUUCCAUUCUGUUACUAAAACAUUGAAACUUCAAAGUUAGGAAAUCAGUAGAUUGUAAAUUAGUUGCGUGUGCUCAACUUAUUGAGCAAAUUUUAUGACUAUUGGUUUGGAAUAUAUUUUGGAACACUAUAACACACAUUGUUUGGCACUUUGGCUCCCCUUAAUCAUCAAACAUUACUUGUUUCCCAUUAAUUUGGUCCUGCAAGUACCUUUCUGCUCUUUUGAUCUCAUAAUCCUAUCCUAUUCAUGCUUCACAUCAUUUUCAGAAAUUGGGUAAAAAGAUGAUGAGGAAAACUCAGAAAACUAUGCAUCAUAUUCAUUUAUCCAAAACUUAUUGGCAUCUGAGUAUCAUUACCAACUCUGCUUUCUAUUGCACCUCGCAUAUCCUCCUAGCUUAAAGUAAUAAUCUUCCUCUGAUCUUAUUCACUGCUGCACGUCAAUUCUUACCUACCUAGGUUCUAUCUUAAAUUCGUAUUCCACCCUUCUUCGUUUUCAAUUUUCUACUUUCAACCCCUUUUCCUUGAUUUAGCAAAGGCUAAUAGGCAUGCAUAUGUUUGAAUGCACACCCUGAAGUACCAAAUUCCUAACAUAGGAUGCAAUAUUAAGUGUGAGAGAGCUAGCAAAAAAGUUAAAAGCCUUCGAAAAUGAAGAAUCUGAACUCAGAACUUUCAUUAUGUGGAUCAACAAUGAUCGAUCAUUGAAAAACUCAUAACUAGGGUUAAUCUCAAGCAAAUAUCUAUAGUUUAGUUUGUUAACUUAGAAUAAGGUCGUUGAUAAUGAUUUAUCAAGCACACACCAAUGCUUGACUAAUCACAUUCACAGCUAUGCAACUGCAGCUUGAUUAUGACCAUGAUGAUGCAACUCCUCCAAAACCCUUUCUUUUUCUUGCUUGCAUAUGAGGCCCCCCAAACUCCAACCAACCAUUACUAGGUCUCGGUCUUUUGAAGCCAGAGAGCGCCAACUAUACACCAAAACCCACAACUAAGCAAAUUACCUAAAACUCAAAGCCUCCCAUAGCAAAACUCCACCAUAAUAAGAACGAUUAAUAAUUCACAAACACUGCUCCAAGGUCACAAACCUUGUUAAAGAUUCGUAUCUUCCUCUCCGAACAUUCCAACGACAAUUCGCAUCAGCAUCUGACGGCCAGAAAAUUCCCCAUAAACCCCAGAAAUUCCAAAGCAUAAUUCUAGCAUCCAAUCACCAAUAUAUUCUCUCCCCAUUUUGCCAACUCAGUAUAACUCCCUAAAUCUUCACCCGCCUAAAAAAACAGAGUUCGUUGCUAAAAAUACCUUUCAGAGACAAAAAGCCGUUGCUAAAUCUCUCCCCUGUUUCUCCUCUGUUUCUCCUCCGCUGGAGAAACCCCAUUUCUGGUGGCCGGAAAGAACCUUCGGUCUUUAUCUCCAUCUGGGUUUCUUGAGUUUCUUCCUCGUCGUCUGCCUGUGGUGGUUUGAAGGUCACCGGAGGACGAUGAUGUCGGUGGCGUCGCCGAGAAAGUCAAUAACGGAGAAAGUGUUUGAGAGGGUCGGAGGGGUUUCUUACCUGAGCAGUUAUCUCAAGAACAAUAACGGUCGUAACCACCACCACCAUUAUCACAGAGAAGUUGAGAGCGAUGAUGAUUACUAUGACGAUGAGGGGACUAUGGAGCUUGUGCAAAUUGGAGCUGAGAGGACCAAGAACGUUUUGAUUCUGAUGAGUGAUACCGGCGGCGGACACAGAGCUUCGGCUGAGGCGAUUAAGGAUGCGUUUCGGUUGGAGUUUGGAGAUGAAUACAGGGUAUUGUUCUGAAUUGGGUUUUGAGUUUCACAUCUGGGUUUUCUUGGGUUUUGUUUGCUUUAUGAGAGAUUUUGGUGAAUGAUGUAAUGGUUUUGAUUCCAAAGUUUUGAACUUUCUGAGAGCUGAAAUCUUAUAGCUUGACUUUUUGGAUGUAUGAUAUAGUGAUUUUAGUUCAAAGUUUUGAGCUUUCUAUGCAUAAUAGCUUUAAAGAUUGAUUCUUUGUUCUUGAAGUUUUCUGGGUUUUGUGUUGUUUCUGUGAUUUCUUUGCUUAAUGAGUUGGUUUAUGUGAUGCCUCAGGUGUUUGUGAAGGAUGUGUGGAAAGAGUACACAGGUUGGCCUCUAAAUAAUAUGGAGAGGUCUUACAAGUUCAUGGUGAAACAUGUUCAGCUAUGGAAGGUUGCAUUUCACAGUACCUCUCCUAGAUGGAUUCACAGUGUCUAUCUUGCUGCCAUUGCAGCCUACUAUGCCAAGUAAAAUAUCUGACCUUCUUCCACUUUUCUCUUUCAAUGAAGCCUCAAACCUUUAGAUAAUUCAGCAGUGAUUGUUUACUGGAUACUUCUGGUUUUGUCACAAAUAUCCCACCAAAGUUGUAUUCAAUUCAAGGGUCGCUUUACCACUUUGAUUACUUAUGCUUUAAGUUUUUAUUGUUUUCUUCCUUAAAAUGAUUCUUAAUCAUCCACUUGUUUCCUAAUCAGUUGUGAGAGAUUAAAUAAUCUUGUGAACGUACAUGGUUGUCUCUUUUUGAAAAGCAAUAAGUAUUGUUCUAGCUGGAGAACCUGAUUCUGGUUUGACUUACAUGUUUUCAGUAUAGCUAGUGGGAUUUGUUAAGUAGUACUAAUGGUGAUGUAUUGUGAUUGAAGGGAGGUGGAGGCCGGUCUAAUGGAGUACAAGCCAGACAUCAUUAUUAGUGUUCAUCCUUUGAUGCAACAUAUUCCUCUAUGGGUUCUCAAAUGGCAAGGGCUUCAGAAGAAAGUGAUAUUUGUGACAGUGAUUACUGAUCUCAACACUUGCCAUCCUACAUGGUCAGUUUAAUCAGAAUAUUUGGUUCAUGUAUGCUACUUUGCUACUUAGCCUUAUUAGGAAACCUUACAGUAUCUAACAUUGCAAGAUCAUCAUGCAGGUUUCAUCCGGGGGUCAAUAGGUGUUACUGUCCAUCGCAGGAGGUAGCUAAAAGAGCUCUAGUUGAUGGCCUUGAAGAGUCCCAAAUACGUGUUUUUGGCUUGCCCAUCAGGCCCUCUUUUGCCCGAGCAGUAAUCUCCAAGGUUCUUUGCUGAUGAGAUUAUGUUUGUAUUAUGGUGCAAUGUAUUAAAGUGACUAGUUUUCUUAAUUGUGCCUUUACUAAUUCUCGCUUCUACAGGAUCAACUUAGAGAAGAACUUGAAAUGGACCCUGAGUUGCCUGCAGUAUUGCUGAUGGGAGGUGGUGAAGGAAUGGGGCCUGUAAAGGAAACUGCAAGAGCUCUGGGAGAAUCCCUCUUUGAUAAAGAACUGGGAAAACCAAUUGCACAGCUGAUCGUUAUAUGCGGCCGCAAUAAAAACCUUGUUGCCACGCUUGAAUCUGAUGAGUGGAACAUCCCAGUCAAGGUAAAUUGUCCUAGCUAGCUAGCCUUGCUUGUUGAGACCUGCUGUGUAUAAAACUUUGACACACUUAGGCAUUGGGGAAAACACAUUUACAUCUUUCAAACUUGCAGAUUAGAGGAUUUGAGACACAGAUGGAGAAAUGGAUGGGAUCUUGUGACUGCAUCAUAACAAAGGUAAACUGUGACCAAGUUUAUCUGGUUCCAAUCUAAAAAUUUUCUAACAUUUUUCAUAUCUGGGGACUAAUGAGUUUAUCUCAUUCCAAUCUUUUGUAGGCUGGUCCAGGCACAAUCGCGGAGGCAUUGAUCAGAGGGCUUCCUAUUAUUCUCAAUGACUACAUUCCUGGACAAGUUAGUGACAUUUUCUCUUCUCUCUUGGAUUUAUGCAUUUUCUUAGACAAAUUGGUUAAUGUAGCCAGUACUAACUAAUUGACAACCUCAGGAAAAGGGCAACGUGCCUUAUGUGGUAGACAAUGGUGCUGGUGUCUUCACCAGAAGUCCCAAGGAAACAGCCAGGAUUGUGGCAGAAUGGUUCAGCACUAAGCCGAAUGAACUCAAAAGAAUGUCCGAGAAUGCACUUAAACUAGCACAACCGGAGGCUGUUUUCGACAUUGUCAAAGACAUUCACGACCUCGCCUGCCAACGUGGUCCUCUCGCAAACAUCGCUUACAUCCUGACAUCCUCAUUUACAAGUAUAAUCUAAUGAUCAGUUUGUGUCUUCUUCUAUUCAUUACUGAAGUCCCACCCCCCCCCCCCCCCGCCGCCCCUACGAAUGCCAUGUACAGGAAAACGCUAGCUGUCUAAUAUUAUCAUUCUUUGGCCUCAGAAGCCCCAAAAUGGUUGUAAUCUGUAUAUUAUUGUAGACAAGCUCCAGUAUUCAGUAAGGUUCUGAUUCUUUUCUAGGAUUUUGAAAGAUCAUAUAUAUAGAGAGGAUGGUAUUGACCAUGUUGUAAUUUUUCUGUCCCAGUAUUGGUUGCUUCAGAUUAGGCUUUUACACAUUUUGCUGAUUACCAGAAAAUAGUACAUGUAGUGGCUUAGCUUGAAAGCAAUAUCUUCCUACAAUGGUUGAAACUUUCAAUCUAGGUUAUGAUGCUCUUAAGUUUCUGCAGAAUUGUCAACAAAAACUACAAACCAAUUGUUUCAAGAAAACAACUCAUAUACAGUCAAUUACAUCACCAUCUCAGCCCUAUUCAGCUACAUAUCUAAACUUAAAAUCAGUCUCAUCCAACUUUUGACAUAGCUGUGUUUUAUGAAGCUUCGUUGAGAAAGAAAGCACAGUAAAAAUCAAGAACAGAGUACUUAAAAGCAAACAUAACCAAAUUAGACAGAGCGAUGAAAUGUGGAAUAUACUGAAUUGAAUUUUCUGUACAAUUGAAAUUACACUUCAUCAGAAGCAUACAAAACCAAAGUAGCCUAUCACAUUCCUAUAAUUACAAUUGAUGUCUUGGACUCUUGGUUUGAGCUUUGCUCAUCAGCUUCAACAUCAUUCAUCAAUCAUCGUCCACAGAUAAAUGUACUCAUGGCUACCUUUGAGCUUUGAUCCUCAUGAGAUAUUGUAGAGCCAUCACUGCUAGAUCCACUAUCACAUUUCACAUUUUUCUUCUUCUUCUUGUUCUUCUUCAAGAUCAGUUGCUUCUGGCACAUAACUGUGUCUUGAAAAUCCAAGCAGUCAUAAUCAAUGAAAAGAUCAGCUUUCUCAUCCUCAGUCAUAGUCUCAAACCCCAUCGAACUACUCGUCCAUGUCUUCAACGCGGUUUGCACCGAAGGCAACACAAGCCUCUCAACCCCACACUCCCUAAGCCACUUCUCAAUCUCACCCAUCAACACCUUACACAUCCCUUGCCUCUGAUACUCAAACCCCGUCGCCACCAGCGGCGCCUCCGCCACGUCAUUAUGGACCCUCACGUUCGCCACCGUCGCCACCUUGUCUCCUUUCUCCAAAACCACCGUGUAGAACUCCCUUUCCUCGUUGAAGAUGACGUCCUCCGCCACGUCCUUGUGCGUCACGGGGUCCAUAGACGGUGCGAAACACUCGUGCAUGACAUGCAGGGCUUGUGUCAGCUUGACGUAAUGAGCCUUGUUGUGUUUCAUGUCGGACUUUAGCAGAGUCCAUGAAAGAUCGCUCCGGCCGUGAACCGGGCUCGGCCUCCCCAAAACCAAACCGACGCCGGGAAGCAACGACCUGUCGUCUCGCAUUAUGUCUUCCAUUGAUCUCAUCCUGUUCUUGAUCCUCUUUCUGCAGAACAGAGGCGACGACGACGUUUUGGGGUGGUUUUGUUGAACAAGAUCGGAGGUUCUGAUCUUGCUGCUGCGCGUGGCUCGAACCCUAAGCGCAUUUGGGAGUGAAGAAGGCAUGGAGAUGGACGAAGCAGACGAGGAUCUGUUUCGCUUCGGCAUGGUUUCUCUGGUUUUGGGAAAGAAUGAAGAAAGAAGAGAGUGGAGUGGAGUGGAGUGGAGUGGAAUGAGAAGAGUGUGAGGGAGUGGGUUGCUAUACAUGAAUUCGGGCAACACUCUACUAAAUCCUUGUCUGAGUAGGCUUUGGUUUUUCCUUAUUAGUUACGGAUUGGGAUUUUGGGUAAUUAAUUAAUGCUUUUCAGUGAAGCUUGGGUUUCCUUGUUAUUAAGGGGUUUAAUUAUUAGCUGGCAUAUUUUGAUUUUCGUUAUUAACAGGACCAAGUGACUAAAUUACCCUUUUUUGCUGUUAAAUAAAGAAUGAAGGCAUCCUUAUUUUGCAAGGAGUAAUAAGGUAUUUUCCUCGCUCUACCUAGGUUUAGUACGAUGAAAUGCAACAUAUGUUAACUUUAGAUUUAUGUUGAAAAAGUUAAAAAUGAAGACGCAACAUUUUAAUUAACUUUAGAUUUAAAUUUAGAUUUUUUUUUUUAACUUCAUUUGUUUUUAUUAAUACAUUAGUUUACGUUGCGCACUUGCGCUAAAGAUCUUUAAAGUUCGAUCUUUAGAAACGUUGGUAUAUAUAAGGUUUUUUCCCUCACUCUACCUGGAUGUAGUCCAUUGAAAUGCAACAUACAUUAAACAAAACUUUAUGAUGAAAAUGCAACAUUUUGUAGGGAAGAUAACUUGUUUCUAACUCAGCACAAAAAAUUGAUUGAUCAGAGUCUCCGAUGACUGACGAGAAGAAGAGAAGUGAAGACGACCGAAGAAAGAGGAGUCACAACUAUGCGGAUGAAGACGACCAAACAAACAAGAGCAGAGAUACUGGCCGAACAAACAAGAACGACGGCAGGUGGCUCAUUCUGAAGAUGGAUGUGGGGUUUUGGAAAGAAUCAAAAAGUACCGCGCCUUGAACUUGAAGUGCAUGAGGUCUCGUUCCCUCUCCACCAACAACAAGUCGAAGCCUCCUUCAAGCAGCAAGUUAUCAGACAAACUCCGAGAGGAGCAAAGAGCUAUUGCAGAUAACAAACUAAUGUUGGUUGAUCAGUCAACCGAGUUUGAUCGCAAAGCCCAAUGUAUUACUCUCAAAAACGCAUGCAAACUUUACAAGCCUCGUGAACAAACAAAGAUAGCCUACGAUUAUGUUACCAUAAAGUUUAGUAAAGUUUGUUAUAGUUUAAUUACCCCUGAAUAACAAACUUUACCAAACUUUACGGUAACAUAACUGUAGGCUAUCUUUGUUUGGUUAUGAGGCUUGUAAAGUUUGCGUGCAUUUUUUAGAGUAAUACAUUGGGCUUUGCGAUCAAACUCGGUUGACUGAUCAACCAACAUUAGUUUGUUAUCUGCAAUAGCUCUUUGCUCCUCUCGGAGUUUGUCUGAUAACUUGCUGCUUGAAGGAGGCUUCGACUUGUUGUUGGUGGAGAGGGAACGAGACCUCAUGCACUUCAAGUUCAAGGCGCGGUACUUUUUGAUUCUUUCCAAAACCCCACAUCCAUCUUCAGAAUGAGCCACCUGCCGUCGUUCUUGUUUGUUCGGCCAGUAUCUCUGCUCUUGUUUGUUUGGUCGUCUUCAUCCGCACAGCUAUGACUCAUCUUUCUUCGGUCGUCUUCACUUCUCUUCUUCUCAUCUGCCACCGGAGACUCUGAUCAAUCAAUUUUUUGUGCCGAGUUAGAAACAAGUUCUCUUCCCCUUCAUAUAUAUCCACUAAACGAGAAGAAGAUUACAAUUGAAGAACAAUUCAGUUCUUUUACCCUCAAAUAACCUCUCUCCUCACACUGUAGAUUAUAGUAGAGAUAUCUCAAAUACAUCUGAUCUCUCAUAGCUUGCAACUCUCAAGAUCAGAACUCUCAAUUGAUCUACAUCACACCACACCUAAAACUAUGCCUCUAAGGUCCUAUUUAUAGACUCACAAUUAGUCCGAAUUACAAUAGGAUUUAGAACCAUAGCAUGAAUCCUAAACCAUUACUUCUAAAGAUAAACUUCAAAAAUCCUAGAUACACUAGAAUAACUUACCCAAAACCUUUAGAAGUAAAGAAUCCAAAAUAAAUAAGGAAUCAGUUUUGAGCCGCAACCCUAAAAAUAUGUAUAGGUGUUCUUACUUCUCUUAGGAGUAUCUGCAUUAGGUUUAAGAUCAGUCAAAUAUACUCUCUUAAAUCGAAUCAGAAAGAUUUCUCCUUUGUCUCUUCUCUUCUGAUAAAAUAUUAUUUACAUGGGGUUAGAAGUAAAAACAUUUUGUUCAAACAAUAGUUAAGGCGAGGGAUGAUGAUGGCUUGCCAAAGUAAUGUUUGGCUGGACCUAAAGAAGUAUGGUGGAAAGUGAUGGACUCAAAGACCAGAGAGCCUUUAACGAUAUCUCUACCUCUAAUUGAUAUUUGAAAAACCAAACGAAUUUCCAUAAAUAAAGUAAUUUUUCCUUUUCACUUUUUGUUAUUCACCAGAAGUAAAAAGGAAAAAUUACUCCGUUUUUUUUUUCUUUUCACUUUCCUAUUUAAAACAAAGAAUUAAAUUCAGUUUACCCCCCAUGAGGUUUGAGAGUAACUUCAUGUUAAUCUCUAUACUUUCAAUUUCAUCAGUUUACCCCUCAAACUUUUGAAUUUUCCUCAAGCGUGACCAAAUGUCCUAUAUUCUGUCCAAAUCGGACGUUAAUUGCUAAUAAUUAUAACCAUAACUGUGAGGCCAGUAUCUAGAAUUUGGGUAAAUCGGAUCUUAUAUGUCCAAAUCAGACCUUAACUGUUGAUAAUUCAAGGUCAAUUCAAACGGAAUAUGAGAAUUUGGGCACGGUAGACAGAAAUUGAAGAGUUCAAGAGGUAAACUGAUGAAAAUAAAAGUGUAGGGACUAACAUGAAGUUACCCCAAACCAAAGAAGGUAAACUGAAUUUAAUUCUAAAACCAAAUACAAAAUUUAGUGGUUGGGUCCUACUUGAAAAUCCAAGAGAGCUAAACUUGUUGAACACAGGUUCAGUCCUCAUCAUCACUAAAACCAAAUCUCAGCCGUUGAUUUCUCUCAUCUCCCCCCAUCCAUGACCCUUAAGUUCUCCAAGCCUAGGGUUGCCACCACCACCAUUCUCACUCCGCUCUCCGCCACCGCCAUCAUCGCGGUCCAUGUCGUCGAUGACCAAGAUCAACGGCCACCCUUCGCCCCACCCCUGCCCUCACCUCGCCUCCUUUAAAUCCAAAAACGGCUCCAAACCCUUCCGCGCCUUACAGGACUGCCUCCGAAUCAAGCCCCCCGGCGGCCGCGCCUCGAUCCGCCGCGAUCCCGACGAGCUCCCCCGAUGCGCCACCUGCGCCGAUCCCUCCCACUCGCGCCUCUACGCCUGCGUCGCCUGCGCCGCGGUCCACUGCCACGCGCCGUCCGGACGCUCCCACGCGGCGGCGCACACCGCGUCGAUGCCUCCGGGGCACGAGAUCGCCGUCGACGUCGACCGCGCCGAGCUCUUCUGCUGCGCGUGCCGGGACCAGGUCUACGACCGCGACUUCGACGCCGCCGUGGUCCUUGCUCAGACCGCCGCCGCGUCUUCCUCCUCCUCCGGCGCGAUCCACGCGCCGGAGAAUCUCCGCAAACGGCGUCGGAUCGAUUACAAGCCGUGGUCGCCGGAUUUCAGAGAGCAGGUGAUCGUCGGGAGAAACUCGAGCCUCCUCCACGGCCGGAGCCCCUCCGAAUUGCCGUGGGGGCUGCGCGGCCUCAACAACCUGGGGAACACAUGCUUCAUGAACUCGGUUCUUCAGGCGUUGCUCCACACGCCGCCGUUGCGGAACUACUUCCUCAGCGAUCGGCACAACCGCUACUUUUGCCAGAAGAAGAGCAAUGCCGAUAAGAAAAGCGCGGGAAACGGCGGCGGGAACGCCGUGUGCUUGGCCUGUGACAUGGACGCCACGUUUUCGGCGGUGUUUUCAGGUGAUCGGAAGCCUUAUAGCCCCGCCAAGUUCUUGUACAGGUCUGUGAAAGCUCUACAUUACAAUGUGGGUAGCCUUAUAUGAAAUGUAUGCUGUAGUUUCGCUUUUUUAUUCACAUUGUAAUUUAUUAAGUGUAAAAUUGUUUAUUUUUCUUACCUUGUGGUUUUGUUUGGUUCGGAUUUGUUUGUUUUAUAGUUUACUGACCUUGUUUCGUUUGGUUUUACUGUAGUUGGUGGCAAUACGCCGCGAAUUUGGCGAGCUAUGAGCAGCAGGAUGCGCAUGAGUUCUUCAUUUCGACGCUGGAUGGGAUUCAUGAGAAGGUCGAAAAGGAGGGGAGGAAAGCCGAGAGCCAAGGUUUACUCUUUUUUAGAAUCCAAACCUCUAAUUAGGCUUCUUCUUGUGAUUUAUCUCUGCAUGCUUCAGGCGGGAUAGGAUACAACUAGCAAAGAUCAAAUUUCGGCAUUGUGAUUGUGAAUCAUUGUGGAGAUUUUUUUUUCGUCACAUGUCUGGUUAAAGGUUGAAGUGACAUGUCUAGUUAACUAGAGGAGUUUGAGCAAGGGGACAUGUAGCUCUUCUCUGGUCAUUGCUGUACAGUUCAGGUUUAAUUAGAUGUUUGGCCACUACUGAACUCCAUUGUUGAUUUUUAAUUAGUUGGGGCAGUGUGUCUCUCUAUAUGAUACAACAUUAAAUACUGUUCAUAAAAUGCUUUCAAGAUAAGUGGCAUCUCGGUUGAAUAGUAUAGCUCAUAUUUUUUUGGUCUAAUUUGCUUUUAUUUUGAGAUAGAUUUACAGAUUUACACAAACAGUAGAUAACUGUAAUUACUUUCAAGUUUACAAACAUUUUUUAGUUGUUUGUAGAUGUUCUAACUUCCUCUUCAGCCAGCUCUGAACAUGGUGUAUCUGUGUUUAAGUUUAUAUCUAGCAGUUUUAUGUAAACUAGUGGAACGUUUAGAUGACUUAAGGGCACUUGUUGCAAAAAAAUUCUCUUAUGUCAGAUAAAAAGUUGAUGAUGGCCUUCUAGAACAUAAAGGGACGACAAACUUGGUGUCAUUUGCAAUAUAUUGACUUUAGAGUUCUCUGUGAGCAAUUGCCAUCCCUAGUUUUUGUAUAUUUGUUAUUUCUUUUUAGUUGGAGUGACUCAGAAUACUGUUGAGGAUUUAAGGUGGCUUUGACAUCUAAAUGCAGGAUGUGAGUCUAGGUACCUUGCUUUUGCCCUAGGAGUUGACCCUCUGCUCACAGUUUAGGGCUAAUUUUCACCCUCUGCCUGCUGGCUUGAUGGUGUUAUCCGCUUCACUCCAGUAAGUGUACCUUCACUUAGUUGUCUUGGGUUUAUCUAGGGCAUUCUCACCUUUCACAAUUCUCACUAAAACUCAACCUUUUGCCAGGUUUAGGGUCAAAUUACAAAGUGGAUUGAAAACCUAAAGAAUUGGACGAUUCCUUUAAGUUGAUAAACGGCGUAGAUUAUGUCUCCAGCACCUGUUGGUAGUUGGGGUAUUCAUGUUGUUGCUUGCGGGAUAUCUUUUGGCCAUGAUGUUUACUUGUUUCAUGUGGAGUGUGCUAUUCUUCUUCGAUAAAGGAAAGUUUAAAUGCCUUUCUGAUAAAUCUUCAUUUCUUUUGUACUGCAGGCACUGGAGAUUGUUGUGUGGCUCAUAGAGUUUUCUCUGGCAUCUUGCGAUCUGAUGUCAUGUGUAUGGCUUGUGGUUUUACGUCAACAACAUUUGAUCCAUGCGUAGACAUCUCACUGGAUCUGGAACCAGGUUCUGCGAAGAAGGUUUCCACAAAGUCAAAUCAUUCUUGCAAUGGCAUUGCAGAUUGCAUGAAUUCUGGCCAGAACUGUGGCACGUCUACCCUUGUCGGAUGCCUCGACCGUUUUACAAGACCUGAGAGAUUGGGCACUGACCAGAAAUUUUUUUGCAAGCAGUGUCAGGUGAGACAGGAGUCUCUAAAGCAAAUGUCCAUUAGGAAGCUUCCUUUGGUUUCUUGCUUCCAUAUCAAAAGAUUUGAGCAUUCUUCAACACGAAAGAUGUCAAGGAAGGUUGACCGUUAUCUGCAGUUUCCAUUUUCUUUGGACAUGGCACCAUAUCUUUCGUCUUCCAUAUUAAGGAAUCGAUUUGGGAAUAGGAUUCUUCCUUUGGAUGGGGAUGAGCCAGAAGCUCCAAAUGAGUUAUGUUCAGAAUUUGAGUUGUUUGCUGUCGUAACUCACACAGGCAAGCUGGAUGCUGGCCACUACGUGACCUACUUGCGAUUAAGUAAUAACUGGUACAAGUGUGAUGAUGCUUGGAUCACACAAGUUAACGAGGACAUUGUGAGGGCUGCACAAGGCUACAUGAUGUUUUAUGUACAGAAAAUGCUAUUUUACAAAGCGAGUGAAAAACAGGGGUCUGCAUAAUAUGCUGAGCAGGAAAGAGUGUGUUAAUUAGAAAACGAACAGCUUCCUGCCUGUUUUGCUUAGCUUAAACAGUUUGUCAUCGAGUUGCUAUUCUCGGCAGCUAGUUGCGCCCUGAGGACACCUUUGAGGCUUUAGAGUGGUGAGUAAUUUAUGAUUCUCAGAUGGAGCAAAGUGAGCCUGAAUUUUUGGGGCAGUCUUGCAUUUGGGAAAUAAUCAAGUUCAAAAUUGUAUUGGUUUCUUGAAAUUGAUAUGAUGUGAAUUUUUUUACCUGCCUAUUCAAGUAUUUAUAAUAGAUCAUUUUUCCUCUAAUGUGUUGUGUGUAUCCAAUAGCAACUAAAAAGCUUCAUUCACGAGGUAUAUAUUGCAUCAGUGUCUUAUUUCAAGCAUAUUCAAAAACAAUAGGCCCCCAGAAGGAGUAGAUCAGCCCAAUAGGCCCAGGGCACUUCAGUGGCCCAGAUCCACCUAGCAGCCU
This 80198-nucleotide long non-coding RNA is filed under the name Fragaria vesca (wild strawberry). RNAcentral describes it as "long non-coding RNA (FVES_LNC000051)". The stretch from base 63658 to 63730 matches the Rfam family "tRNA". The record is from RNAcentral. Lineage: Eukaryota; Viridiplantae; Streptophyta; Magnoliopsida; Rosales; Rosaceae.